This 70026-nucleotide long non-coding RNA is filed under the name Lathyrus oleraceus (garden pea). RNAcentral describes it as "Pisum sativum (pea) long non-coding RNA (PSAT_LNC009192)". Lineage: Eukaryota; Viridiplantae; Streptophyta; Magnoliopsida; Fabales; Fabaceae. The record is from RNAcentral.
GCUGACAAAAAGAAGAUCGAGGAUGCCAUUGAACAGGCUAUCCAGUGGCUUGACAGCAACCAGCUUGCUGAGGCCGAUGAAUUUGAGGACAAGAUGAAGGAACUUGAAGGCCUCUGCAACCCUAUCAUUGCCAAGAUGUAUCAAGGUGGUGCAGGUCCAGAGGGUGCUGCUCCAACUGAUGAAGAAUAUGCUCCUUCUGGUGGAAGUGGUGCUGGUCCCAAGAUUGAGGAAGUCGACUAAAUGUAGUUGCUUUUUAUUUCUUAUCUAUGGUUUAUUUUUCAUGUUGUAUUUUUGAAUUGGUGUAUUCAUUGAUGGAUUUAGCCAGAGUGCUAAUUUUUAGUGUAUGUCAUAACAUUCGUUUGGUACUGUUAAGCCCCCAUUUUGUAGUUUUUAUUCAUUGUAAGAAUGAUACUUUUAUAUUUAUACAAUGUUUUUCAGUUAUUUUUGUGAUUUCGUAUUUAACUAGCUGCCUUAAAGAUGAUGAUAUUGUCUCUAGCCAACGGAAUGCGUUGUUGGCUACUGUCCAUCUUGAAUAGAACAUGUCAUUUUAGUUUUUAUUAUACUGUGAUGAUUGUAUAUAUUAAUGAUACUAGUAACUACUUCGUAGUUACUGGUGUGUUUCAAUGAAAUGUGUCUUGUCUAAAAAGGUCAUUAUUAUGAGUUAAAAUUUUAUGAGAAGAAGGCAUAUCAAUUUAAUAUUUUGGAAAGCAAAAAAUGGGCUUUGUCAUCCAUUUUUAAUAAUAAAUAAUUCUAGAAAUAAUUUUUUUAAUUAACUAUUAUAAAUAUUUUAUAGUAUUAUAAAGUACAGUAUUAGACAGAAAAGUUACAGCAGUAAUGGUUUUUGAAAGGUUUAGUUUGAUUUGGACUAUUUGGUUCUUACACUUUUAUAUUUCUUAGGAUAAAGAGAAUUCCAUUUGAUGAAAUGCAUACUUUGAUUUUAUUUUAAAACAAUGUUAUAAAAAAUAUAUUCAAAUAAUCAACAUUUCAAAUGAUUUAUAAAAAGUAACAACUUUUCAAAUAAAAAAAAAUCGUCACAUAGAGGAUGUGCCACUAACUGUGACGCAUGACACGUAUUUUAUGUCAUGUCAAUGACAGCGUCGCAUGCAUGUUGGGAAUAAGAGCAUUCGUCAUCCCUCUUGUCUUUUAUGUUGUAUUGUUUUUUUUUUAAUAUAUAGAUCAUUUCCUCUACACCAUUUAUCACUCAUCUCUUCAUUCUAUUCUUAAUUUUUUUUUGAAAUGUCUUAUAUCAUCAAAAGAAAUGUUAAUUUGUUUUAUUUGAUAGUAAAGUCUCUGAUGAAAAUUCGAUUUUGGAACAUUCAUACUUUCGAACAUCUAGAGAGGAGCUUGAUUCGUUGGUUAAUUGGAGACAGUGAAAAAAGAUCAAAAGAAUUAAAAGGGUUGUUACGGUGUUCAACCAAUUCAUUUCUAGAAUAACAUCGAGUUAACUUAGAGACAAACAAUCUAAGUCAAUCCCAAAAUCUCUAUCAUAAAUUAUCAAAGGAUAAUUCACACACACCAACGAAGUAGACACUAAAUCAUUAGCUGAAGUAUCAAUGACCAUGCUACCAUUCAUAUUACACUUUCAAAUUCAAUCUUUUCACACACUCAUCAAAUAUAAAUGAAUGCGUCACACCCGUAUCAAUAAUAGUAAUCAAAUGAAUAUUAUUAAUAAAACACACACCCUGAAUCAAAUCAUCCGAUGCAACGGUCUCUGCCCUAGACAAAACAAAAACUUUCCCCCCAGACUGAGCUUUUUUAGGUUUCUCACACUGCGUACUAAUAUGACCAUGCUCUCCAUAAUUAUAACAAGUUAGAUUAUUACUCAUACAGUCAGCAACUGAGUGACCUGGCUUCCCACACUUGAAGCAAUUCACAAUUAUGCUUUUUCACACAUAAAUACGAUGUCCAAAUCCACCACAUUUGAAACAUCAGAAGCAGGAGUCCCUCAUCCAAUUCAUCCUUUCCCACCUCCAGCCUUUUAAUCAACCUUCUAUUUUCCCUUACCAACUAGAGUACUAUACAGUUUUCCACGAUUCUGAUCCUUCCCCUUCUUCUCACUGAGACUCUUAUAGUGAGCACAUUAGACUUUGUUAUCCUCAUCAUAUAUUUUGCACUUAUUCACCAGCAUAGAAAAUCAACGGAUCUCUUGAUACUCAAUAAUCUGCUUGAUCUCAGAAUGUAAUCCGUUUUCGAACUUGACAAACUUCGAUCCAUUAGUAGUCGUACUAUUAUAGUAUGGACAAAACUUCACCAACUCUUCAAACUUAGCAUCAUACUCAACAAUUGCCGAAUUCCCUUGUUUUAGCUCAAGUAACUCAAUCUAUUUCUUACUGCACACGUCCUCUAGAAAGUACUUCUCUAGAAAGUUAGUCAUGAACACAACCCAAGUAAUCUCAUCACCACCAACCUCUAGUCUCUGAUGCGCAUUGUCCCACCAAUCUUCGACCUCCUCUAACAACAUAUUAGUGUCGAACUGCAUCUUCUGAACUUCAGUGCAAGUCAUCACUCAAAAAAUCUUCUAAAUCUCUCUGAACCAUGUUUGUGCACCCUCUGAAUCAUAUCUUCCUUUGAAGGUCGGAAGGUUGUUUCGCUGAAACUUCCCCAAUCCACAGAAUUCAUCGCCAACCUAAUUCUGCUGACCCUGCAGCACCUGACCCAUCUCCUCCAAAGCAUCAAUAAUAGUGUACAACCCAAAAAUUAUUUGAUUGGCCGAGAUGCAAAAUAAUAAUUUAUAACUUAGUCGAGAUGUCAAUUUUUAGUCGAGAUGGUCAUGUAGGAACCUCAGACCGGUGCACAUAGAUCUAUUCCUAAUGUCGGGCGACCGUGUUCCCUAAGCAAUUAAGAGGCAGACUAAGAGUCAAAAACCGUUACAGAACGAUUAAUAAAUCAUUUACAUAUCACUAAUGGUCAUAAACAGUUACAAAUACUUAUUAAGUCGAUUAUAAAUAAUUAAGUAAACAGUUACGUUUAUAAUGGUCAUAAAACCUAGUUGUUGUAACUAUUCAGUAUGAGAGGGAGGCUGACAGUAUAUAUAAGUCUUGAGACCAAUAGAAAAAAAGGAUUUGCACGAUGAAUAAUAUAGAAAAGAGAUAAUCUAUCAAAAAUCUUGAACAACCAACAAUGGUGGACAUGAACCCCUUAACCAUUACAGACACACCGACGAAUCGUUUAAGGCUCUCCCUGACUACUAAUAACAGAGAAGUCAACCUUUUAAUAUUUUAGCAAGAAUACUUAGCGCCCACCGUGGGGCUCCUGUAAAACUCUCCCUAGCCACACAAUCAAACCAAAUCAAUCAUUUUUCAAAACAAAUAAAUUUCCAAUUUCACAAGAUUAUCAUUACACUACACACAUGGAACCUUCAAACACUAUUUCUCUUGGACUUUGUCCGUCAAACGUCAUGAUAGUGAAAUCAUUCGACUUUCCCAUGACUCUCCCGACGUAGAGCGUCUUCGCCAAAGAAUGCCAAACUCAGUGACAAUAAAGCUAUGCUUCAAUUAGGGGUGUACACAGGUAUGGUUGGACCGGGUUUAGCCUAACUCGUUCAAACUUCAAUGGGUUGGGUCCAUCGUCCAACCAACAAUUUCAUUUUCAAAACCGACUCGUUAUUAAUGGGUUGGGUUGGGUUCGCGGGUUGUGUUUUAAAUAAAAAAUAUAUUUUUUAUGAUUCUUUUUGUCGGUUUUAAAAAAGUGUAACACAACUCAAUACAAUCAUACUCGUUUAUAACACUCAAAUUCAAUGAAAUACAUCAUAAAAUAUCUAAUAAAAUUCAUCAACACAACAUAACACUUUAUAAUAGUAUAACGUUCAACAAGACACAUUAUUUGCAUAAAUUACAUAAGUUGGAAAUGUACAAAAGGAAAUAAGAAACAACAUUUAAUCUUAGAAUUACGUAAAUUCAUUGGUGUAGUAGUAUUAUUAGUGGAAAAUAUUUGUUUUUGAAAAAAUUAUGGUUAUUAGUGAGAUAUUAAUUUUAUAUUUUUAUUUAAAAAAAUAAAAAAAAUAAUAAAAAAUUACUAAAAUCACGGUAAUGGUUUGGAAAUUUUUAUGUAAAUAACCCACUUUUUCAAGGAAAUUCCCAAAAUACCCCUGGUUUCAAAAAAAUCCCAAACUACCCCACUUUUAGGAGGAGUCGCCAAUUGAAUUGGAGACUCCUCUUAAAAAUUGAAUGGAGGCGCCAAUUGGAUUGGCUAGGGUAGGUGCCCUAGCCAAUCCAAUUGGCGCCCCUGUGUAGGGUUUAAGAGGAGNUUGGAGACUCCUCUUAAAAAUUGAAUGGAGGCGCCAAUUGGAUUGGCUAGGGUAGGUGCCCUAGCCAAUCCAAUUGGCGCCCCUGUGUAGGGUUUAAGAGGAGUCGCCAAUUCAAUUGGAGACUCCUCCUAAAAUGCAUUUUUUUUGGUAAAUGGUAUACGUGAUAGAUAAUUUUGAUAUAGGACCACUUGAUAUUAAUAAAAAUUGUUGUUUACACAAAGAAACCUAAUGGUGAUGACCGAGAUCACCUAACCAACCUCCGGUCCCACAUCCUCAAGCUACCCUAACCCGUGGCCCUAACCCACGUUGACGAUUCAGUACCGGUGUUUGAGCAUCUGAGGGGCCAGAAGCGUCACUACCAACUACAGGAGAAUGUCCAUUGAGGUAUUCAGACAAGUCGGCAUAAUCUUCAGUAUGCAUCGAUGGUGUACCGCCGUAGCUGAGCUCAUGACCCAUGCUAGAGAAGUUGGGAUGUGGUUGACUCAUGGAUGGGCGACCGGGACGGUUGAAGGGAGACAUGGGUGUGAACAAUGCAUCGAGGAAAGGUUGGAAAGGUUGUUGGGGUGUUUGGUAGAGAUAUGGUUGUUGGAUGUUUUGGUUUUGUGAGGUUUGGGCUUCUUGGCUACGGUAGGAGGAAGGGCGGUUGGUGUUGAAUGAUCGUUGGGUGUUCUGGCUUAGGCGACUUUGAUGGGGUGAUGAGGUGGGUGCGAAGUGAUGUUGAGUCUCAGGUUGAUGGUCAAUUUGUUGGUGGUGGUAUGGGGUAUGCUCUUGGUAUUAAGGUUGGGUGUAUGGAAUAUUUUGGUUGUAUGUUUGUGUGUUGGUUGAACGGAACGUUUGACGGACAGGGGGCUGUGUGUAUCUGAUUUGACACUGUUGUUGGGGGUUUGAUGUUGAGGUGUCAGGUGUGUAAGUCAUCUGGCGUGGAUCGUACAAGUACAUAUCCUCGGCGAUGAACUGAAAACCAACCGAUCUGUACCAAGCCAUAUAAGUACGACUUGGUUUUUCUUCAGUUGGCAUGACUGCGUCAGUUAACACAUGGUCAUGACGGUGCUUAUCUGUACCAAGCCAUAUAAGUACGACUUGGUUUUUCUUCAGUUGGCAUGACUGCGUCAGUUAACACAUGGUCAUGACGGUGCUUCCAUUUGUGACACUCCGAUCUUGCGAAGCUUUGCCAUGGAUUAAAGUUCCAUUAGUCGUUAACUUUGCGCAUAUGCCAUUCUCCUAGGCUAGCUGGGGGAUCUGGGAUAUUUUGGGGCAUACCGAACUGCAACUUCACACGAUCACUGUUGUGCAUCUCCAUAGUUGUGAACCGUAUUAUCGGUGUACAUGCAGUCCAUACGGCCGCAUCUUCAGCGUUGACUUGAUGGUCAUGAUCCAAAUUAAGGUAUGGACGCCAAAUAAACUGAAAUGUAAAAGAAGAUUGGAUUAUAGUCAAGGUAGAAGAAGUUAACAAAAUAAUUAAGUUAUUUUCCUUACGUCUGUCGGUCGAAGGUGAUCCAACAGGUUGCGAUACUGAGUAAUACAAUGUCUUGGACAUUUGUUGUAACUCAUACCACGUGCAGACCAUCUACACCAAAAAGUCAAAAAAUAUUAGUUAAAGGUAAUAAUCUUUAAAGACGUAAGUAAAGAUAUAGCAAUUUAAACAACUUACUUUUGUGCAUACGGAAAUGUGAAAGGAUUGUUAUUGACAGGUGCUAGAGACGGUAGUCUUGACCAACCCCAUGCUUGUAGCAAAACAGCACAUCCAGAAAAUGUAGAUGUAUCUUUGUGUGAGUUUUUGCACAAGGAGCUAUAGAGAUAGGCUAGACAAGCAGAUCCCCAACUGUAACUUCCUAUUCUAUCUACAUGUCUAAGUAGAGGUAAAUACAUAAUAUGCAUGCUAGAACCACUACCUUCGGGAAAUAAAAACGAGCCAAUUAACAACAUAAUGUAACACCUAGUUUUUAUUAUUCGAGCAUCUUUGGUAGAAUGCUCAUCUAAGUAUAAACUAUUAUAGUACGACUUAAGGCGUGAAAGUAGUAUACCUUGACCUCUUGCGUUAUCAUCUAACAAAUCAGUCUCCAAGAGAUCCAUGCAAAUUGAAUUUGCAUAGUUGGUUUUACCAUUAACAGCCUUACCUUCAAUGGGUAGUCCCAAAAGCAUGUAGACGUCUUCUAACGUCACGGUACACUCACCGGUUGGGAACCAAAAUGUGUGUGUCUCUGGUCUCCAUCUUUCGCAUAAAGCUAGAAUGAAUUUGUUAUCUAUGGACCAAGACAAAAUCUUGCUUAUAUGACCAAAACCGGCGAGUUCAACAUAAGGUUGAAUCAUCGGGUCCAUAUGGACAUAUUCGUGGACCCGAGUUCGGAACCUUGAUACAUCCUAUAAAAGAAAGAACAAAAAACUUGACUAAGUUGGUAUGUUAAAAUAAAAGGGGGUUGGUGAAGAUGAAAGAUAAAAAGUUAAUAAAAGAAAAAACUUACAUAUGUUGCGAUGUUUGCAACCGUUCCUCUAUGUGAUUCGCCCAUUGUGAGGAUAAACAUUUUGUCGGUGGGUUGGUGUAGAUGAAACUACAAGAAGUUGUUGCAAAUGAAAUUGUAGAAGAAGUAUUGUAGAAGAAGUAGUGAGAGUGAUGGUGUGGAAGAAGUGUUGACGGAGAGGAUGUAUUUAUAGGCAAAUGGAUGGGAGCAUGGAAAGUUGUGCUUGCAUGGUGUCUCCACUUGAAUUGGCGACCAUGUACAACCUUUAAGAGGGCUCUCCAUUCAAAUUGGCACCUCCAUAGGGACAUGCAUGUAAGACCUAGGUCUGAUUGCUUGGUUUCGAGGUCUGAAUGCAUGCUUUGACAAGGUGUCUCCACUUGAAUUGGUGCCCAUGUGCAAGGAAUGAGUGGGGGAGCCAAUUCAUUUGGAGUGUGUGUCUGCAUGUCUGACACAUCGUUGUCCUCUCUCUUGCAUGCUGAACAUGUCACUUCUUAGUAGCUUGCAUGGUUGACACAUCAUUUCGGAGUAGCUUGCAUGUGCGACACGUCAUUUCGAAGUAGCUUGCAUGUGCGACAGGUCACUUCGAACUAGCUAGCAUGUGAGACACUUCACUUCUCUAUUUAAGUGUCUUACUAUCAACAUCCAAGACACUUCACUCAUAUUCAUCUGCAGUAAGAAAAUAGUUUUCAUCUGCACAAUAUCAUCUUUAUCAUUAUACAGUGUCAACGUUCACUGCAACGGUGAAACAUACGAGUCUGAGCUAUAUGGUUUUUGUUUUCGAAACACCGAUACCAUUAGACUCACGAUCAAGAGAAAUGCAACCUUCUUGCAUUUGAAAAAAAGAAUACAAUCCUGUAUAGGAUCGGGUUUUGUGUCAAAGAUCACAUAUCAAAAUCCAAUAUUUUUUGAGAAUAGUCAAUACAAGUAUUCCCCCCUUAAGGUACGAGACGAUGAAGAUGUUGAUGAAUACAUGUUUGUUAGUCAUGAACAUUCAGGCUGCAACUGUAUUGAGUUGUACAUUACUCUUCAACCAUGUAUACCAUCUCAACAGUCUCAACUAACCAGUCAGGAUGAAUCUGGUGAAGAUGAUCCACAAUGGUCAGAUGACGUCAACCCAGAAGCAGAAGCAGAAGUGAACGUCAUUGAUGAAGAAGAAGAGGAGACCGAGAUACAGGUUGACCACAUGCUGAACAACGACGAUGAAGAUGAUGAUCAACCACCACCAAUACCUCCUAGUCAUGUCUACAAUCCGCCUCGACAUAUGACAAAUAUGGAUCUUCACGACGAUGAAAUAUCCAAUAGUGUUUUCUAUAAUCUGUAUCCGAGAUCAGAAGGUGAAUUAAAGGUGGGAGACAUGUUUCGUACCAAAGAAGAAUGUGUUCUGGCUAUCAAAAAAUUCCACAGGAACAACUCUGCUGAUUUUACAGUGAAACGCACUGAUUCUAGAAGGUAUGUUAUCGAAUGUUGUAACAUGCUUUGUAAGUUUCGUUUGGCUGCGUCUUACAAGAAGAAAAACGACUCUUGGGAGAUCGCUUCAAUAGACCCACCUCACAGUUGCAUUGCAACUAACGUUGAACAAGAUCACCGUAAACUAAGUGCANNNNNNNNNNNNNNNNNNNNNNNNNNNNNNNNNNNNNNNNNNNNNNNNNNNNNNNNNNNNNNNNNNNNNNNNNNNNNNNNNNNNNNNNNNNNNNNNNNNNNNNNNNNNNNNNNNNNNNNNNNNNNNNNNNNNNNNNNNNNNNNNNNNNNNNNNNNNNNNNNNNNNNNNNNNNNNNNNNNNNNNNNNNNNNNNNNNNNNNNNNNNNNNNNNNNNNNNNNNNNNNNNNNNNNNNNNNNNNNNNNNNNNNNNNNNNNNNNNNNNNNNNNNNNNNNNNNNNNNNNNNNNNNNNNNNNNNNNNNNNNNNNNNNNNNNNNNNNNNNNNNNNNNNNNNNNNNNNNNNNNNNNNNNNNNNNNNNNNNNNNNNNNNNNNNNNNNNNNNNNNNNNNNNNNNNNNNNNNNNNNNNNNNNNNNNNNNNNNNNNNNNNNNNNAAGGUGAUAUUGUUUGGCACAAUGACGAGAUGCGUAGAAAGAAAAAAGGAAGGCCAAACAACACACGUAUCAGAACAGAGAUGGAUUCCACAGAUAAAAUGAUAAGAUUAUAUAGUAUAUGUCGUCAACCAGGACACAACAAGAACAACUGUCCCAAUCGAGGAGCAUCAUCUAGGUCUUAAGCUUUUUGUAACAUUGUAUUUCUGUAACCUUCAAUCAUUAUAUAUCAUUAAGUUUUUGUUACAACGAGGUUCACAACAAACAUCAGUACAAAAUAAGCUAUCUGAAAACAUAAAUAUUUCUAACUGAUUACAACAAUCAAAUUGAUGUCGUCUCGAUCGAACAUCAUUUCCCUAGCAUCCUUAUCAGUCUUCAUUCACACCCAACCAAAGAUACUAUCAAGUCUCUUAAUACUUCUAAUUUUUUCCCCUUCUCGUAUUUUCCCAUCUAACCAACGAACCAGCUCCCUCUUCAGUUGAUCGAACGUAGUGAUGUUCCAGAACAACAUCAACAUCUGAGGUUUGUCUCUCGCAUAAAUCACCUUUCCGUAUCGGUGAGGAACACCAAACAUGAUUGCCAAUUAAUUAUAUGAGACGUGGAACAAUUACUCACACAACGCAUCUAUUUAUAACACAAAAAUUGCAUUUUAGGAGGAGUCUCCAAUUGAAUUGGCGACUCCUCUUAAACCCUACACAGGGGCACUAAUUGGAUUGGCUAGGGCACCUGCCCUAGCCAAUCCAAUUGGCGUCUCCAUUCAAGUUUUAAGAGGAGUCUCCAAUUCAAUUGGCGACUCCUCCUAAAAGUGGGGUAGUUUGGGAUUUUUUUUUGAAAUCAGGGGUAUUUUGGGAGUUUCCUUGAAAAAGUGGGUUAUUUUCGUAAAAAUUUCAAUGGAUUGAGUCAAUGGGUCCGCGAAUUACUAAACUCAAAUCCAAUAGCCGAACCAAAAUUAUACGAGUUAUUAUGAGUUGAAUUGAAUAUACCCAUAAAUGAAUAGAUUCAGAUCAUUUAUAGAUUGAAUUAGUUUGAAUGAGUGGGUUCAUGCGUCUGACCCUCAUGUAGCUUCAAUCUAAAUGCACACCAUUCAAUUCACACAUUUAUUCGUAAUGUUAAAUCCGAAUCUAGAGGUUGUUUAUCUAUAACCGCUUGUUAUUUCAAUAUUUUGUCAGGUGGUUACAGGUUAAGGAUAAAACUGUUAAUUGAGCAUACUAUGGAUCUCAUGUGAUGAAGUAUGGUGGUUCGACCAAAGGAAUGUUGUUCUCAUCCAUUUAUGGGAAAAGUUACGCAAAUUACAUGAGGGUUCUCCGCGGAAAAACGAAGUUGAGAAACAAGUUUUGGAAGCAAUGUCUCAUAGGAAACAUAUAGACAACCAUGUGAAACUGAUUGGGAAGCUCUCAUUCGGCAUUGAAAAGGGUACUGAACCACUUAACGCUUUUAGACCUGUUGGAUCACCAUUUGUUGAUAACCGGGAUUGCCUCAAAACCAUGGAGCCAAUACAUUUGCAGUAUGCCCAGGUUAAAGCAUAGUGUGUGUGUAUAUAUAUAUAUAUAUAUAUAUAUAUAUAUAUAUAUAUAUAUAUAUAUAUAUAUAUAUAUAUAUAUNNNNNNNNNNNNNNNNNNNNNNNNNNNNNNNNNNNNNNNNNNNNNNNNNNNNNNNNNNNNNNNNNNNNNNNNNNNNNNNNNNNNNNNNNNNNNNNNNNNNNNNNNNNNNNNNNNNNNNNNNNNNNNNNNNNNNNNNNNNNNNNNNNNNNNNNNNNNNNNNNNNNNNNNNNNNNNNNNNNNNNNNNNNNNNNNNNNNNNNNNNNNNNNNNNNNNNNNNNNNNNNNNNNNNNNNNNNNNNNNNNNNNNNNNNNNNNNNNNNNNNNNNNNNNNNNNNNNNNNNNNNNNNNNNNNNNNNNNNNNNNNNNNNNNNNNNNNNNNNNNNNNNNNNNNNNNNNNNNNNNNNNNNNNNNNNNNNNNNNNNNNNNNNNNNNNNNNNNNNNNNNNNNNNNNNNNNNNNNUAUAUAUAUAUAUAUAUAUAUAUAUAUAUAUAUAUAUAUAUGUCUCCACUGAAUAUUAGUGAAGCACACAAGGUGUUCGAUGAAAUGCCCAAGGAAAAACCAAAUCAACUCUUCAAGGCUUAAGAAGAAACAAAACUCGGAUCACGAAAAUUAAGUCACGCUGACAUCAAAAUAGUGCCCGAACCAGUUGAUCGCAUUGUAAAUACCAUCAUUCAUAUAUAAGUCACCUAUACCCGACCUGGAUACCGUCAAUAGCUUCUCGGAAUCAUCAUUGGUGCAUCUCUGAGGAAGAAAAUAGGUGUUCUCUAUACUUUAACUUUCCUACAAGUUAUUGUAUCUCACUCGCAGUUGACAUGGGUGUUUGUGUUAGGUUCUCUAAAAAAUACUGAGAAUAAUAUAAAGAAUAGAAUGAGGAAUAAUAAGAAGAGGCUGCUUUAUUGAAUGAUUGGAAGAGAUUUACAGAGAUCAAGGAAUCUACUGCCACAGAGCUGAGCUCCUAUGGAGGGCUUAGUAGCUCUCCAUUCUCAUGAUUACACAAUGAUUCUAAAAAGUGUCCUCUUGUGAUUUAUUCCUAAUCCUUUAUGCAAACAGCCUAACAGAAUUGGUUAAGACCAAUUCUCUCUCUACUGCCACCUCAUAUCCAAUCACGUGAUAUUUGAUGCUCUUCUCCUUCUAGAAUAAACCAGCCAAGCCUGACCAAUUCUCUCUCUACUGCCACCUCAUAUCCAAUCACGUGAUAUUUGAUGCUCUUCUCCUUCUAGAAUAAACCAGCCAAGCCUUGGCUCCACUAGGCCCACUGUGAUUUGACACUUCCACCCCUGACCCAUCUUCAUUCAUAUGGUCCCUAAGAACACUCCCUCCUAGAACAACUACCUUGUCCUCAAGGUUGAAUUCUGGAAAUUGGCUCUUGAUGGUCAAGAUAUCCUCCCAAGUAGCUUCAUCCACUAUUCUGUUAGCCCAUUGAAUUAAAACUUGUUGUACCUUCUGUCCCUCUGGACCACUCAUACGCGUUGCUAGGACAUCUUCAGGUAUGAAUUGAUCAGCACAAUUCCCUUCCAUUCCCUGAGGUAGUUCACUCUCCACUUGGUACUCUCCAAUGGCCUUUUUUAACAGUGAUACAUGGAACACCGGAUGUACCCUUGAUCCUUCAGGUAAUUUCAACUUGUACGCCACCGCCCCUAUUCUUUCCAUAAUUUGAAACGGCCCAUAAUACCUUGCAGCCAGCUUAGCAUUCAUACGAGACACCACAGACUUCUCUCUAUGUGGACGAAGCUUUAAGAACACCCACUCCCCUACUCGAAAGCUACGAUAUGUUCUUUUCUCGUCAGCAUAAUGUUUCAUACGGUCUUGAGCUCUUUGUAAAUGAGCUUUGAGUUGUCUGAUAGCUUCAUCGCGUUCUUCUAACUCCUUCUGCACUGCCUCUACCCGUGUUUCUCCCUGCAACAAUCUGGUAAUCAUUGGAGUUUGUCUGAUAGCUUCAUCGCGUUCUUCUAACUCCUUCUGCACUGCCUCUACCCGUGUUUCUCCCUGCAACAAUCUGGUAAUCAUUGGAGGUUUUCGCCCAUACACCAGCUCAAAAGGUGUGCUCCCUACUGACGCAUGGAAUGUGGUGUUAAACCAGAAUUCCGCCCACGGUACCCAUAACACCCAAGACUUUGGCUGGUCAACAAUGAAACAUCUCAGAUAUGUUUCUAGACAUCAAUUCACAACUUCGGUUUGUCCGUCAGUUUCCAGAUGAUAUGCUGAACUCAUUUUCAGCGUCGUUCCUUGCAACCAAAACAAUUCAGUCCAAAAAUUACUGACAAACACAGGGUCACGAUCACUGACAAUUGCUGUAGGUAAGCCAUGAAGUCUUAUCACUUCGCGUGCAAAUGCUUCAGCCACUGUUCUGCAAUACACGGUUUUUUUAGAGGGAUGAAAUGACAGUACUUAGAGAGCCUGUCCACUACCACAAAUAUUGCUUCAAAUCCUCUUGACUUGGGCAAUCCUGUAAUAAAAUCCAUCGAAACUUCUUCCCACACUGCUGUAGGAAUCGGUAAUGGCUGCAGUAGGCCUCUGGGAGAAAUGGAUAAAUACUUCUGUCUUUGACACACAUCGCAUGCUUUUACAUAUUCUUGCACCUUUGCCUUCAUCCCUAUCUAAUACACAUUUGCAGCCAAUCGUCUAUAAGUGCGGUAAAAUCCGGAGUGACCUCCUACUGGAGUACUAUGAAACUCUGCUAACAUUUUAGGAAUCAAACUGGAUUGUGCUGACAGAACUAACCGAUCCUCAUACAAUAGCAUGAGUGACCUCCUACUGGAGUACUAUGAAACUCUGCUAACAUUUUAGGAAUCAAACUGGAUUGUGCUGACAGAACUAACCGAUCCUCAUACAAUAGCACCUCCUGUUUAUACUUGAAUCCAGGCCUUGUAUUUGGAUUCUCUUCCAAUUCCUCUAUGAUCUUGACUAACACCUUAUCAUUGUGGACUUCCUCUUGAAUCACAUUAUCUUCGUCCCAAACUGGAUAUGAAACCGCCGCCAUAAAUUCUCCAUUCUCAGGUAAACGCAAAAGUGCAUCUGCUCCUCUAUUUUCCACCCUGGCUUAUACACGAUAUCAAACCGGUAACCAAGUAAUUUGGUAGCCCAAUUCUGCUGGUCAGGCGUUGUAAUUUUCUGCUGCCAAAGUUGUUUCAAACUCUUUUGAUCCGUUGUAACUGUGAAAUGUCGCCCCAUUAAAUAUGGCCGCCAGUGUUGAAUCGCUAAUGCCACCACCAUUAAUUCUCUUUCAUAUACAGAUUUGGCCAGAUUCUUUCCUCCCAGGGCUUUACUAAAGAAUGCAAUGGGUCUCUUCUCUUGCAUCAAGAUGGCGCCUAACCCCACACCAGACGCGUCACACUCCACCACAAACUCUUUUUCAAAAUCUGGUAAUGCAAGAACUGGGGUUGUUGUUAGCUUCUGUUUCAAAGUUUCAAAAGCCUCUUGAGCUUGAUGACCCCAUUUGAAACCAUCUUUCUUUGUUAAAUCAGUUAGGGGCUUUGCAAUUUUUCCAUAGUCUCUAAUAAACUUCCGAUAAUAACCUGUGAGGCCUAAGAAUCCUCUCACUCCCUUAACACUCUUUUUUCCAUAGUCUCUAAUAAACUUCCGAUAAUAACCUGUGAGGCCUAAGAAUCCUCUCACUCCCUUAACACUCUUCGGUAUUGGCCAUUUAAUCACACUUUCCACCUUCAUGGGAUCUACAGCUACACAAGUCCCACUAAUUAAAUGACCUAAGUACUUAACUGUAUUCUGGCCAAAUUGACACUUUUUCCGAUUAGCAACUAACUUGUGCCUCCUCAAAAUCUGCAGCACUUCUGUUACAUCUCGAAUAUGUCUCUGCUACGUCUGACUAUAAAUGAGUAUGUCGUCAAAGAAAACCAAAACAAACUUCCGUAAUAACGGCCGAAAUACUUCAUUCAUUAAGGACUGAAAGGUAGAGGGCACAUUCAUCAGUCCGAACGACAUUACAAGGUAUUCGUAAUGCCCUUCAUGCGUACGGAAGGCAGUCUUCUGAACAUCUUCAGGUUUCACCUCACUUGGUGAUACCCGAAUUUCAAAUCAAGCUUAGUGAAAUAUUGGGCACCAUGCAAUUCGUCAAGCAGCUCAUCGAUCAUUGGAAUUGGGAAUUUAUCUGGUACUGCCACUUUAUUAAUGGCACGGUAGUCGACACACAUCCGCCACGACCCAUCCUUCUUCUUCACCAAUAUUAUUGGGCUAGAAAACGCACGGUUACUCUGCUGAAUAAUUCCUGCCUCCAACAUCUCUUUGACUUGCCUCUCUAUUUCAUUUUUUUGAUGAUGGGGGUACCUAUAAGGCCUCACACUCACUGGGCCUUGACCUGGCAGUAAGUUAAUGGAGUGGUCACGUGAGCGUCGUGGUGGCAGCCCCUUGGGCUCAUGAAACACAUCAUCAAAUUGCUUCAACCUCUCUUUCAUUUCUGGGUGAUUUGUCUCUUGUAAAACCUGGGUUUCUGUGUUGUUCAAAGUGGCAUCUAAGGACCACCACUUCCUUCCAUAUCCCUUACUAGCUUUACCUACUAUACUCUGUAGUGCUGUCCCUGUUUUGAAUAAGACAUGAUUACACUUUCCUCGCGUGGUGGUUUGAAACCCAUCACCCAACUUGAUUCUGAAAUCUGGAGUAGUUUCGACGCUCCAACCCAGUUUUUGCACUAACGGCUUCGCAGUGAAAUUGUGUGUCGCUCCACUGUCAAUCAGAACCACCACCGGAACACCAUUAAUGGUUGCUCGCAACUUGAGCGUUUGUAGACUUUCACGUCUCGGAACCUCCAUCUCAUAUAAGUUCAUCACACUCAUCUCCCCAUCUCGCUCUUCUUCAGAUUCGUCCACCUCCACUGCCAAUAAUUUGGCCUUCUCCUCUCCUCCAUCUUCAUCAUCCAAAAUCAUGACACGUAGUUGUUUGUCUGGACACUGAUGGAGGGGGUGAAAGAGACCCCCACAUUUAUAACAAAGACCUUUUUGUUUUCUAUUCAUGAGCUCUUGAUAGGAUAAGUGAGUAAAGCCUUUGUCACGUGCACCCUUUUCUUUUCUCUCUCCAGUCACUGGCUUGUCAUCACGUGGUGGGUUAUUGGGCCCUUUAGAUCCAUUUCCAUAAUUUAACCCACUGUUAUGGCCUCCUUUCAUAAAAACCCAAUUCGUUCCUCCAUUUCUCCCCGGGUUAGCCUUGUUUGAACCGCUUGGUUUCGGGUUUCGGAUCCAACCCGAUCCACCACUCGUUUCCCUUUCCACUGCUCUCGUGACGUGGAACAGCUUCGUUCUCGCUAUCGGCCCCAUAGCUACGAAACUCCGUACCCUACCUCUGAUCUCACCUCUUAAUCCGUGCAGAAAAUACCCUAAAAAUUGUUUGUCAGGUAACCUCGGAAUUCGAGAAGUCAGACGUUCAAACUCCUGAAUAUAUUCUUCCACCGUUCCUCUCUGAUGAAUUUCAGUGAGCUUUUCAUAAACAUCACCCUCUCCUAAACCUCCAUACCUUCCCAUCAACUCUGAUCGAAGCUCCUCCCAUGUCAGAUCUGGGUUUUCUUCCAACAAAGAGUUAAAGAAGUGAAUUAUUGGUCCUUCCAUGCUCAAUUGUGCCAGCCCCACCUUCACGGUAGCACUCGUGUCUUGAACACGAAAAUAGACCUCUGCUCUAGAGAUCCAUCCGGCCGGAUCGUCGUCGGAGAACGCUGGUAGCUCCACCUUCUUAACCGACCUUCUAAAUUCAUCCAAAGCUUCACCUUUCAACUUUGUGGUUGUCGUAACCUUUUUCGAUGAUGCAUCAUCUUCAGCUUCAACCACCUUCUUUAGAACGCUGGUAGCUCCACCUUCUUAACCGACCUUCUAAAUUCAUCCAAAGCUUCACCUUUCAACUUUGUGGUUGUCGUAACCUUUUUCGAUGAUGCAUCAUCUUCAGCUUCAACCACCUUCUUUUCCAGAACCUUCUCCAUCAUCUGUAUCAACGCUCUUUGAUUCUCCCUCACUGUUUGUUGAACCUCAGCGAUGGAAUCAGAGAAAGCAACCUUCAUCAGCGAUAACUCUUGCUCCAGAUCUGCAAUCUCCGCCUCAAUGUUUGCUACGGUUUUCUUCUUAGACAUCAACCAAGCUUUCCUUCACUGGUCCCCUCUACGGAUUCAGUAGGUCGGACCACUGUUAGGUUCUCUAAAAAAUACUGAGAAUAAUAUAAAGAAUAGAAUGAGGAAUAAUAAGAAGAGGCUGCUUUAUUGAAUGAUUGGAAGAGAUUUACAGAGAUCAAGGAAUCUACUGCCACAUAGCUGAGCUCCUAUGGAGUGCUUAGUAGCUCUCCAUUCUCAUGAUUACACAAUGAUUCUCAAAAGUGUCCUCUUGUGAUCUAUUCCUAAUCCUUUAUGCAAACAGCCUAACAGAAUUGGUUAAGACCAAUUCUCUCUCUACUGCCACCUCAUAUCCAAUCACGUGAUAUUUGAUGCUCUUCUCCUUCUAAAAUAAACCAACCAAACCUUGGCUUCACUAGGCCCACUGUGAUUUGACACUUCCACCCCUGGCCCAUCUUCAUUCAUAUGGUUCCUAACAGUUUGCAUGUGUAUAGUUUAUUUAUUUCUAAUGUAGAUGUUGGUGUGUGAUCUCAUAGGAUCAUAUCAUGACCUUUCAGGAUUGUUGAAUCGUCUUGAGAAGCUUUAUGUCAUGAGGGCAUCACUGUUUGGCAGGAGAUUAUUUAGCACGGUACAGAAUCGUGAUGCCGACACAGUGCCGGUGCCAACAAUUAAAGUUGAAAAGUCUAACUACAUUAAACGGAUCUCGCCAAUGUCGAAGCUUUAGCCAAUGUUGAAAUAAGAAUUAUAAUCUGAGCAGCAGAGUCCUUCUGUCGUUACGCCUCUCGAAGUCACAAAAGGCAGAUCCGUCGUGUCUCUAAUGAUCUCAAAACCAACGACAGCGACAUCGAAAGAUAAAUGACAUGCUCUGUCCCAAUUAAGUAUUCAUGUGCAAUACCUAUCUAACCUCACGACGUAUUUGGUUAAUGAUUGAUAUAAAAUGAUUGAAUCUGCUUGUAACAAUAUUGUGGGAUGCUUUUUAUUGUGAUUUCAGAGCAUGGAAUAGCUGCGAUUGUAUAAUUCAGCAGCAUAUUUAAUAGCAUGGAGUCGCAGGCUGUGAUGGACACCCUUCAAAUUAGCUAGCUGAUCCAACUAAUGUUGCUAGCUUGUCGUUGUAGAAGUCGGAACACGCAAUUCGAAAUACAUUUCUGAUCCAACAACGCUCGUGGCAUGAGCAGACUUGGAUACUAGUUGCGACAGCUUCGAUUCAGUCAGCAUAUGCAGCUGCAGAAGAUUCUUUACCUAUCACAGAUGUGGUUUGGUCUAAAGUUCAAAUUGAAAAGCAACUGUUGAAUGCCAAUGACGGUUUUUCGGGUGACUGAUAGGAUGUUUGUCUUCAUCUACCUGUCAGACUUACAACUAUUUUAAAAGGUGGAAUCGAGCUGCGUGUUUUGAUACAGAACAGAUAGCAUCGCGAUCACUGCUAACAAAAGUAUGGGACAUAAUUACUGUUAUUAAAAUAUGGUUAUGAGUUGCAUUAGUGUUUUUAUUGCGUAUUGUACAUGACUAUGCUAUCGCAUGGUAGUAAUGCAGGAGCUAAACCAUGUUGCACGGCUGAUAGUGCUAUACCAAAGCAUGCAGGGGCUGUACCGAGUCAUAUAACUGAUAUCCCGAACAUUGCAGCAAAAAAAAUUAAACUAAAGUCUAAAGGAUUAAAAGUGCGUGAAGCCAAGUUCGGAUUGACAGGAUGCUAAAAUCGCGUGUGGUUUGAUGUACCGCAUAAUUCAAUGAUUUUGGGUCGAGUUCGGCCGGGUCACGGAUCUGGUCAUUCUAUGCAACUUGUUGGAAGUUAUUAGAGAGAUGAGUACGUAAUAUACAAAUUCUGUGUUAUACAACUCAUAUUAUUCAUUGUAAAUAAUAAUUAGUAAUUAGUUGUCUUCUACCAUAUUUAGAAUUAACAUUUAUAGGUCAGAUUUAGGAUUAUUGAUCUGUCCCUUGUAUUCUCUAAAUGUCUUUCAUGUAUUACUUACUGAUAUAUCAAAGAAAUACAAAUUAUUUGUUUCUUUAUGAUAUCAGUUGCUAGGAGAAUUCCUUAGGUUUUUUUCUUUUGCUUCCUUUUUUUUCUUCCAUCCCAUAUAAUGUUUGAUACCGAAUCCCAGCAUACGCCCAAACAUUCUUCACCUAAACCUGAAAUACCUCAAUCUAUCAGGACAUACCAUGAAAACCACCCUGUUCAGAUCACAACAAUUCGACUGAACGGUCCUAGUUAUUUUCGGUGGUCACAGUCUGUCCGUUUGUAUCUCAGGGGGAGAGGAAAAAUUGACUACAUCAUUGGAGACAAGAAACAACCAGACAAGGAAGGUGCAAACUAUGAUUGAGAUGCUGAAAAUUCCAUGGUCAUGACAUAGUUAGUCAAUUCCAUGACUGAAGAGAUAGGUGCAAACUAUCUUUGUUAUGCUACUACAAAAGAUCUUUGGGAAAGUGUCUCUCAGAUGUAUUCUGAUUUGGACAACCAAUCCCAAAUUUAUGAAUUAACUCUCCACUUUGGAGAAAUUCGUCAAGCUGAAGAUUCUGUUAUCAAAUACUUCAAUUGUCUCAAGCGUAUUUAGCAAGAUCUGAACCUGUUCAAUGUAUAUGAGUGGAAGUCACCCGAGGACUGCAAGCACUACAAGAAGAUGAUGGAUGUUCGUCAUGUCUUCAAGUUUCUUGCAAGUCUAAAUAUUGAGUUUGAUGAGGUUCAUGGCCGGAUUCUUGGCAGGAAUCCUAUCCCUCAAAUUGGUGAAGUAUUUGCUGAAGUGCGUCGCGAAGAGAGUCGCAAGCAGGCGAUGCUUAGAAAAAAGGUUGACAUUGUCCCUCCACCAGUCAAAGGAUCUGCAUUGGUUGUUCCUUAAGUCAAUCGCAAACCUUUCCCUAAUCCACGAGGUGGUGACAAGAACCAUUUAGUUUGCGACUACUGUGGUCAAAAUCGUCACACUCGGCAAAAUUGUUUCAAACUACAUGGUAGGCCAAAUGAUAGAAAGGCUGAAAGGUUUGGUGAUCACCCUACGUCUACAACCAAUGAGGCUGUCUCGUCUCCAUUUACUAAGGAGCAAAUGGAUCACCUUUUUAAACUUCUAAAGUUCAAUAUAUCACCUAAUGUUCCUGUUGGAACUGUGGCACAAACAGGUAAGAAUUCUUGGACAUUAUCUGUCCAAAACCUCCAACCCUUGGAUAGUAGAUUAAGGGGCAUCUGAACAUAUGACCAAUUGCUCUCAUUUAUUCAGUUCCUAUUUCCCUUGUUCCGGGUCUGGAAAAGUAAGGAUUUCUGAUGGUAGUUAUUCUAGUAUUGCAGGCAAAUGCACCAUUAAAUUUUUAGAGCAAAUUACUUAGCAAUCUGUUUUACACGUUCCUAAAUUGGCUUGCAAUCUUUUAUCUGUUCAUAAACUGUUUAAGAACACUAAUUGUUCUGUCAUUUUUCGUUCUUCCACUUGUGUUUUUCAGGACCAGAACUCGGGGAAGAUAAUUGGAACUGCUAGAGAGAUGAAUGUAUUAUACUACUUUGAUGAAACUCCCCUUGAAAAUGCAAUGGUUUUUGGUUUAAACAGUGCAAGUUUACCUACCGUUUCAGAUCAAGUUAUGUUAUGGCAUAAAAGAUUAGGUCAUCCUAGUUUCCCUUAUCUUAAGUAUUUAUUUCCAAAUUUUGCCAAAGAAAUAAAUUCCUCACAAUUUCAUUGUGAAGCUUGUCACUUAGCUAAACAUCAUCGUGUGUCUUUUAUUUCAAAAGAUUAUUCUGCUUCGCAACCUUUUUAUUUAAUCCAUAGUGAUGUUUGGGGUCCUUCAAAAAUUAAAACUAUGUUUGGAAAAAAUGGUUUGUGACAUUUAUUGAUGACUAGACACAUGUGUGUUGGGUUUACCUCUUAGAAAAAAAAUCUGAAGUGGAACAAAAGUUUAAAGAUUUUUUUCAAAUGAUUGAAAACCAAUUUCAAACUAAGAUUGGCAUUCUAAGGUCUGACAAUGACACUGAAUAUUUCAACAAAUAUUUAAGUACAUUUCUAGUAACUAAGAGGGUAAUUCAUCAAUCCACUUGUUGUGAUACUCCACAACAAAACGGUAUUGCUAAAAUAAAAAAUAGACAUCUCCUCUAAGUUACUAAAGCUAUUAUGUUUUCUAUGAAUGUACCUAAAUAUCUAUGGGGAAAUGCCUUAUUAACUGCUUGUUACCUCAUCAAUAGAAUGCCAUCUCGUGUUUUAAAAUAUGAGACUCCUAUGUAAGUUUUACAAAAUUAUUUUCCCACAUCUCGCAUCAUUGCGGAUCUUCCCCUUAAAAUUUUUGGUUGUCUUUGUUAUGUCUACAUCCCAAAUAUUUUUCAUCCCAAAUUGAAUCCUAAAGCUGAAAAAUGUGUUUUUCUUGGCUACGCUUCAAAUAAAAAGGGUUACAAAUGUUUUUACCCAAUAACAAAGAAUUUUUUUGAAAGUAUGGAUGUCAACUUUGUUGAAAAUCAACCUUUUUUUAAUAAAAAUUCUCUUCAAGGGGAGAAUCGUUGUCGGAUAAUAUAAUUUCUGAAACAAGGGGAGAAAAACUGAUUGAGGAUCAUAAUCCUCAAUUUCAAGUGUAUGUUCGAAAAAGGUUUCACAAAGGUAUUACAAAUCCAAUUGUCUCUCCUGCAAAAAUCCAAUCGGAUUUACCAAGUGAAGGUCCUACAGAAAUUUCACCUUCUAGUUCUUCAUCUGGUAAUCCAUCUUACUCUUCCAAUGAUUUACUGGAUUUGUCUUUUCCUGAUAUUAAUCUUCCAAUUGCUUUGAGAGAAAAAAUUCUUGAUCUUAAUAUCCCAAUUACUGAUAGGAAACGUACUCGAACAUGUACUAAACACCCCAUGUCUAAUUACUUGUCAUAUGACAAGUUAUCACACACUCACAAGGCAUGUGUCUAGGAUUUCGAAUUUGUUUGUGCCCAGUACUAUUCAAGAAGCGUUAGGUGAUCCGAAUUAAAAAUUAGCAGUGAAAAAAGAGAUGAAUGCUCUAAGGAAAAAUAAUACUUGGAGUAUCAAUGAUCUACCUCAUAACAAAAGGGCAGUUGGAUGUAAAUGGGUGUUUACAAUGAAAUGCAAGGCCGGUGGAAAUGUAGAAAGGUACAAAGCAAGGCUAGUAGUUAAAGGUUUUACUCAAACUCAUGGUAUAGACUACCAAGAGAAUUUUUCUCCCGUUGCUAAGAUUAAUUCCAUCAUAAUUCUUCUCUCUCUUGCAGUAAAUUUCAAUUGGACACUACAUCAAUUUGAUGUUAAAAAUGCUUUUUUGAAUGGAGAAUUACAUGAAGAAGUAUAUAUGAGUUUCCCUCCGGGAUUUGAAGAAAAUCUUGGAAGAGACAAAGUCUGCAAAUUGAAAAGUCCUUAUAUGGAUUAAAACAAUCACCAAGGGCAUGGUUUGAGAGAUUUGGUUUUAUAUAUCAUCAAAUUGUCUCUUUGGAAGACUCUUUGUGAGAACAUCUGCUACUUGACUUGUGAUAGGUACAUAGGACAUACAAAUUUCACCAAGGGGGAGUGUUGAAAGUUAUUAGAGAGAUAAGUACAUAAUCAACCGAUUUUGUGUUAUAGAGCUCAUAUUAUUCAUUAUAAAUAAUAAUUAGUAAUUAAUUGUCUUCUACCAUAUUUAGAAUGAACAUUUAUAGGAAGAACAAUUACUCUGAUUCUCAGGUCAGAUUUAGGAUUAUUGAUCUGUCCCUUUGUAUUCUAUAAAUCCCUUUCAUGUAUUACUUUAUGAUAUAUCAAAGACAUACAAAUUAUUUGUUUCUUUACAACUAUUACAAGAGAUUCGUCGUACAACCUUAUUUCAAAUUGAAGGUUUCAUUUUGGUUGAUGUAAACUUCUUAAAAACCUAUGCUUGGUAGAGGGAAGUUGUGGUGUAUUGGUGCGACGACACUUGAUGAGUAUCGGAAGUAUGAUCUAAACCGUGCUGCUGAAUUGAAGGAGUCAUAUGACUAUAUGAAUUACGAGAAAAUCUAUGCUGAGAGAGGAAGUUACAUGAAAUGAUAUUUCUGAAACCGUAAGCAAGUGAACCGAUAUUCAUGUUUCAAAACUUCAACAAUCAGAAGCACUUAUAAGAACUGAUAUGAGUGAGUACAUAGAAAGGCAUGCAGCUUCAAGAUUGAUCGACAAUGCAUUUGAAUGAAAAAAUGAUAGUUCAUGGAGUUCUAUCAUAGGAUCUUACAAACAAAACGGCAUGGAAGUAGAAGCUUUAGACCUAUGCAAAGAGAUGUUGUUCCAAAGAAUGACAACACUGUUGUUGGCACUGUCAAAACCAAAGGAACUGUUCAACUUGUUGAUUGAUACACAAUUGGUUUCAGGUAUAGUAUCAGUUAUCGGCUUCCUACAGUGGUGCAUGACGACGACCUUGCUAAAGCGCAAAGAACUGUCUGUAUGAUCAGUAACAGCAUUGCUACUGCAGAAGUUCCCUCUCACAUUGACGAAUAAGUUGAUCUUAUGUAUGUAUUCGAUUUUAUAGCAUUGGAUAACAUAUUUAUUGCAGCUGCAGCAAGCGAGGGCAAAACAUCAAAUCAAUAACCUGGUUCAAUUCAAAUUGUUGAAUAAACUUUAAUGUCAUAGUUAAUAGGUUUUAUUAAUAAGUUAAUGGAGAGAUUUGGAAGGUCAAUAGACAGUGGCAAAAUUAAUAGUAUUUACUAAUUAUCAUAAUUCCUAGAAUAGCUAAGGUUUCUGAGUAUGUAUAAAGACCAAAAUUGUACUCUAAUAAAACACAAAAGUUUAUAAACGAAUCGUUUCUUCUGACAAAUUGGAAUCAGAGCUAAUGGCAAACAUGAUGAAUCAAAUGCCGUUGCCACGGCUAACGAAGUUAAAUUACGAAAACUGGAGUAUCCAAAUGAAAGCUCUUCUCGGAUCUCUAGACGCGUGGGAGGUGACCGAAGAUGGGUUUGAAGAACCAACAGAUGUUGAGGGAUAUACGGCAGCUCAAAACAAGGCGUUGAAAGAGACGCGAUCGAAGGAUAAAACGGCAUUAUACAUGCUGUUUAGGGUUGUUGAUGAAUCAGGCUUCGAAAAGAUUGCCGGUUCGACUACGUCGAAAGAAGCGUGGGACACGCUAGAGAAAGUGUUCAAAGGAGCAGAUCGAGUAAAGCAAGUUCGACUCCAAACACUUCGUGGCGAAUUGGAGAGGAUGCAAAUGAAGGAGUCAGAAAAUGUAUCUGACUACAUCACGCGUGUACAAAAGGUGGUGAACCAACUCACCAGAAAUGGCGAAACAGUAACUGAUGCACGAGUUGUCGAAAAGAUUUUGAGAUCUUUAACAGAUAAAUUUGAGAAUAUUGUGUGUGCAAUAGAAGAUUCGAAGGACCUUUCGAUGCUCGCAGUCGAAGAGCUCGCUGGUUCCCUCGAAGCACACGAACAACGAAAGAUGAAAAAGAAGGAAGAAGGAGCAGAGGACGCAAAUCAAACCAAGGAGCAAAUCAAAGACGAAAAGGUACUUUUUCUCAAAAUUUUCGAGGAAGAGGACGUGGUCGUGGAGGACGUGACAAUGGUCGAAGUGGUAGAGGCAGCAACUUCGAGAGAGGACAGUCGAACCAGCAAAAUUGGCAUGGCAGAGGACGUGGUCAAAGAGGUGGUAGGUCGAACCAUUCCAACUUUGAAUGCUACAAGUGUGGCAAGUAUGGUCAUUGUGCGAAGGAUUGUAACUCAUUCAAAUGCUAUAACUGUGAUAAAGUGGGACAUCUUGCAAAAGAUUGUCGAAUCGAAAAGAAGGUAGAAGAAAUAACCAAUCUAACUUUGGAAGCUGAAGCAAAUGAAGGUUUUCUCUUGAUGGCUCAAAGUGAGAUCAACUCAAAUGACAAUGUUUGGUAUCUUGACUCAGGAGCAAGUAACCAUAUGUGUGGUCACAAACACUUGUUUAAAGAAAUGAGAAAGAUUGAAGAUGGAAAUGUGUCUUUCGGAGAUGCAUCGAAAGUGAAGGUCGAAGGCAAAGGAACGAUUCGUUACCUGCAGAAGGAUGGGUUGAUUGGAUCAAUUCAAGAUGUUUAUUAUGUACCAAAUCUUAAAACCAACAUCUUUAGUUUGGGACAACUUACAGAAAAAGGUUAUUCGAUACUUAUGAAAGAACGGAUACUGCAUUUGAAGGACAAGCUGGGACAUCUGAUUGCUCGUGUCGAAAUGGAGAAAAAUAGAAUGUACAAACUGAAUCUGAUAAACGUUCGAGAAAGAUGUUUACAAGUAAGCGUCGAAGACAAAGCGUCACUAUGGCAUCUACGCUUUGGUCAUCUACAUCAUGCUGGUUUAAAAAGGUUGGCGAAAAAGAACAUGGUGCACGGACUACCAGAUAUGGAUUAUGAAGGAAAGUUCUGUGAAGAAUGUGUGCUUAGCAAAUAAACAAGAACUUCAUUUCAAAAGAAGGCAGAAUAUCAAGCUAAGCAUAUCCUUGAUUUGAUUCACACCGACAUAUGUAGGCCAAUCACGCCAGAAUCUUUCAGUAGCAAAAGGCACUUUAUUUCCUUUAUCGACGAUUACUCACGAAAGACAUGGGUUUAUUUCUUGAAAGAAAAGUCUGAAGCAUUCAAGGUGUUCAAAAGGUUCAAGGUAAUGGUGGAGAAGGAAACCGACAAACACAUUAAAGCAGUUCGAUCUGAUAGAGGUGGUGAGUAUACUUCGACAGCUUUUAUGAAGUAUUGUGAAGAGUAGGGUAUAAGGAGAUUUCUAACUGCAGCAUACUCACCUCAACAAAAUGGGGUGGCUGAAAGGAAGAAUCGAACAAUCCUUGACAUGGUUCGUUCAAUGCUUAAAAGCAAGAACAUGCCAAAGGAAUUUUGGGCAGAAGCUGUAAAAUGUGCCAUUUAUGUUCAGAAUCGAUGUCCACAUUCAAAAUUAGAAGAUCAAACACCACAAGAAGCGUGGAGCGGACAGAAGCCAACAGUUUCUCAUCUCAAAGUAUUUGGAAGUGUGGCUUAUGCACACGUACCAGAUCAACGAAGAACGAAACUUGAAGACAAAAGUCAGAAAUACAUACUCAUAGGGUAUGAUGAGAAAACAAAAGGGUACAAGCUAUUUGAUCCCAUAAGAAAGAAGGUGAUAGUGAGUAGAGACGUUCAAAUAAACGAAGCAAGUAAGUGGGACUGGAACAGUUCGACAGAAGCUGUUGUCGAAGUUGAAGAAUCAUCUGUUGCUGUACCAUCAAAUAUUUCGACAAAACUUGAAGAUUCUGACAAUGAAGAUGAACCUACACAACCCAGAAUGCGAAGUUUACAAGAUCUGUAUGAUUCGACAAGUGAAGUGCACCUUGUAUGUCUCUUAGCAGAUGCUGAAAACAUCAGUUUUGAAGAAGCAGUACGAGACAAGAAGUGGAAAAGUGCCAUGGACGAAGAGAUGGGGGCGAUUAACCACAAUAACACUUGGGAGCUAGUUGAAUUGCCAAAAGGUAGUCAACCCAUUGGUGUAAAGUGGGUAUUCAGAAAAAGAUGAACGCUCAAGAGAAAUAAAACGAUACAAAGCGGACUUGUUGCGAAGGGAUACAAACAGAAAGCAUGAGUUGAUUAUGACGAAGUAUUGCACCUGUUGCAAGAAUGGAGACAAUUCGAGUUACUCAUAUCUCAAGCUGCUCAUUCAAAUGGCCAUAUUUCAAAUGGAUGUCAAAAACAGCUUUUCUGAAUGGUGUACUAGAAGAAGAAGUCUAUGUCGAACAACCACUCGGGUCAGAAAGCUGGAGAAGAGAAGAAGUACUGAAAUUGAAGAAAGUGCUAUAUGGCUGAAGCAAGCACCGCGGGCAUGGAACACACGUAUCGACACAUAUUCAAGGAGAACGGGUUCGAGCAAUGUCCGUACGAACAUGCCCUCUAUGUGAAGAAAAAUGGAAGGAAUGUAUAUCUUGUUGCUCUCUAUGUUGAUUAUCUUAUUUUUUCUGGCAGUAAAUGCAGAAUGAUAGAAAGAAUUCAAAAGCACAAGACACGUGAAUUCGAGAUGACAGAUUUAGGCCUGAUGAGAUUCUUUCUUGGUCUGGAAGUUCGACAAGAAGAAACAGGAAUCUUCAUCUCACAAGAAAAAUAUGCAAAAGAAUCUUGAAAAGAUAUAAGAUGGAAAGUUGUAAUCCGACUUCGACGCAAUGGAACCAGGAACAAAUUGUCGAAAUUUGAUGGAGGAGAACGUGUCGAAGCAGAAAUAUCGAAGUUUGGUAGGAAGUCUUCGCUACCUCACAUGUACAAGACCAGAUAUCUCAUUAAGUGUAGCAUUGUAAGUCGAUUCAUGGAGGAGCCAAUUUACACACAUUGGAAAGCAUUGAAGCGAAUUCCGAGGUACAUCUAAGGAACAGUGUCACUUGGAUGUUUACUCGAAUUCAGACAAAUACAAGUUGGUUGGUUACUCUGACAGUGAUUGGUGCGGAGACAUAGACGAUCGAAAAAGCACUUCUGGAUAUGUGUUUCUCAUGGAAAUACUGCAUUCACUUGGCUUUCUAAAAAGCAACCAAUAGUAACACUUUCGACAUGUGAAGCGCAGAAUAUGUAGCAGCAUCCGGUGCGUUUGUCAUGCAAUAUGGCUCAGAAGAUUGAUGAGUAAAUGGAGCUAGAACAGAAAAUGCAACAAUAAUACAAGUUGACAACAGGUCAGGCAAUUGAGUUAGCAAAGAAUCCAGUAAACCAUGAAAGAGCAAACACAUUGACGUUCGCUUCCACUUCAUUCGAGAACACGUGAAGGAAGAAAUGUCGAAUUGAAGCAUGUAGCAAUAAGGACCAAGCAGCAAACAUUUUCACAAAACCACUAUCAAAGAAAUCUUCACAGAGCAAGAGAAAUUGAUAGGCAUGAUGAAUAGAAGAAACAUUUAAGUUUACAGAGGAAUUUUGUUGAAUAAACUUUAAUAUCAUAGUUAAUAGGUUUUAUUAAUAAGUUAAUGGAGAGAUUUGGAAGGUCAAUAAACAGUGGCCAAAUUAAUAGUAUUUACUAAUUAUCAUAAUUCCUAGAAUAGCUAAGGUUUCUGAGUAUGUAUAAAGACCAAAAUUGUACUCUAAUAAAACACAGAAGUUUAUAAACGAAUCGUUUCUUCUGACAGAAAUCAGGUUCUAACAGAACAAGUUGUAUUGCCUUUGGGUGCACCUCUCUUUCGGAGAGGAAUAUUAGAAAAGUGAAGUGCACAAAAUAUGACUAACACAUUCCAAUCCCUUGAUUAUGCUAUUACUGCUGUUUGAAACUUUUAUCAUGUUAAGAAAUGAAUAAUACGCAAGGUUCCAAAUAGAAUACCAGAUGUUACUUAUAUUUGUGUAAUGUUGAGUAGAAUACUAUAAGUCACUAACGGUAAUAGCUGAGUUUGAAGAGCAGUGUGCUAUCAAGGUAAAGAAACUACCAAUAAUUGCAUGCAAGUGGGUCUCAAUUAACCCUAUGUAGUAUUGUAAAUUUUAUAGCAUAUAGACCUUGAACUAUUAGAGUUUCUCCAAUAGUUAGGCCUUAUUAACUAUGAGCUGACACAAGCACCCACUAGUUAUGGAAGAUAUCUCAAGAUUGAUUUGCAUGCCUGCUUGAAAGGUUAUCAAUCAUUAUUACUCACUGAUAUCUCAAUAUUUCAGGUUGAAAUAUAUAAAACUCAAACACACAUUACAAAAGAGAGAAAAAUAGGAAGUGUAACUUUUCAAGGAUUUGAUAUCUCAGGUUGAAAUAUAUAAAACUCAAACACACAUUACAAAAGAGAGAACAAGAGGAAGUGUAACUUUUCAUUCUAUUUUGUUUCUAAAAUUGAUAAUACAUAAAGCAUUGCUUUCAUGCCUUUAUAUAGGCCUUGAAGUACAUAUUCUUAGUGGCUAAGAAACUUUGUGAAUUAAUGGAUAAGAAACUUAGCAAGGUAGCAUAAUUAGGCGGUGAUAUUAUCCACUAGUUUCCUUUCUUAACUUAUAAGUCACAAGCUUAAUUUAACUUUAGACACAUUGCCUUCUACAUUCUUCUAUAAUUAAUAUUUAUAUUAAUUGCCCUAUUUUCUCAAUACUUCUACACACUACUUGAUUUAAUUUCAAUAUUGCCUCCCUUAAAUCAAGUUCUCAAAUUUAUCAUUCCAAGCAUCUUCUUCAACUUGUAAAAUGACUCAAUCUUCAAUGGUUUUGUAAAAAUAUCUGCAAUUUGUUCUUCAGCGGGACAAUACUCGAUCACCACUUCCUUCUCAGCUAUCAACUCUCUUAUCUUGUGAAACUGAAUAUCAAUAUGCUUGGAACGUCCAUGAAACACCAGAUUCUUACUCAGCGUAAUAGCUGACUUGUUGUCACAAUAUAUCUUUGUAGGAUUAUUCUGCUUCUGAUGUAUCACUUCUAAUAUUCUUCUAAUCCAUAUUGUUUGAGUAGCACAACCGGCUGCUGCAAUAUAUUCUGCUUCAGCGGUAGAAAGUGUAACAACCGGUUGUUUCUUUGAAGACCAUGGAAUUGCACCUGUGCCCAAAUGAAAUGCGUAUCGUGACGUGCUUUUUCUUGUUUCAAUAUCUCCAACCCAAUCACUAUCUGUGUAUCCAACAAGUUCCACUUCAUUAUUACUAGCAUAAAAAAUUCCAUCAGUCAGUGUACCUUUGAUAUAUCUAAGAAUCCUCUUCGCUCCUUGUAAGUGACUAACGCGUGGCUCUUCCAUGAAUUUGCUAAGAAAACCAACUCCAUAUACUAUAUCUGGUAUUGUCGCAGUCAGGUAUCUCAGGCUUCCGAUCAAACUUUUAUAAUAAGUUGAGUCUGCCAUUUCCCAUCAUUUUCUCUUGUCAACUUUAACUUUUCUUCAACGGGUGUGUAAACUGGUUUUGACUGCUCCAUCUUGAACUUUUUCAGAAUAUCACUUGCAUACUUCUUUUGGGAAAUGAAAAUUCCAUCAUUCUGUUGGAUGACUUCAAUGCCAAGGACAUAAGACAUUAAUCCUAUAUCAGUCAUUUCAAACUGUCUAAUCAUAGCCUCCAUGAAUUUUGUAAUCAUCUCUGAAUUAUUUCCAAUGAAAAUCAAAUCAUCAACAUAUAGGCACACAAUAAGAACAUCUCCAGUAUCAAUGUAUUUGAUAUAUAAUGUGUGCUCAUGAGGACAUUUCUGAAAACCAUUCUGCACAAAAUAAGAAUCAAUCUUAUUAUACCAAGCUCUUGGCGCCUGCUUCAAACCAUAUAAAACUUUAUCUUCCUUUCCUUUGAUUACAUAUCCUGCAGGCUGCUCAACAUACACUUCUUCUUCCAGGUUACCAUUAAGAAAUGCAGACUUAACAUCCAUUUGAUGUAUUUUCCAAUUAUUCUGAGCUGAUAUUGAAAUAAGCAUUCUAAUUGUAUCUAAUCUUGCAACAGGAGCAAAUACCUCAAAGUAAUCAGUACCUGGUUUUUGUUUGUAUCCUUUUGCCACCAACCUUGAUUUAUAGCGAUCAAUCUCACCACUAGGUUUGUACUUUGUCUUGUACACCCACUUCAAUCCUAUAGAUUUCUUGUCUACUGGUAACUCGGUCAGCUCCCAUGUUUGAUUCUUCUCAAUUGCAUUGAUUUCUUCAUUCAUGGCUUUUAUCCAAUUUUCAUCAUCUGGUGCUUCUUCAAAAGUAAAUGGCUCACAAUAUGCAAAUAAAGCAAAGUUGAUAAUCUCCUCAUCAAAUGGGUCAUUACCAUUACCCAAAAUACAAUCUUGCAGUCUGGCUGGUAAUCUACGCGUCCUUUGUUAUCUGCUGGAUGUUUCUGGCUUAUCAGGUGUUGGAUUAUGCUCAAUCUCCUCUUCAUGUGUUGGAUUAUGUUCAAUAUCCUCAUCGUAGUCAUUUGAAGUCACUAUUGGAUCCUUUUGUGACUUUGAGGACCAAUCCCACAUUCCUCCUUCAUCAAAAGUCACAUCUCGACUGAUAAUCACCUUCUUUGUCUCUGGAUUGUAAAGCUUAUAGGCUUUUGAGUUUGAACUAUAACCAACAAAGAUACAUCUUUCUCCUUUGUCAUCUAACUUCUUUCUCAGUUGAUCUGGUACAUGAGCAUAUGCAAUACAUCCAAAAACUCUAAGGUGUCGGAUUGAAGGUCUUCUUCCACUCCAAGCUCCUUCAGGAGUCUUUUCUUGGACACUCUUUGUAGGACACCUGUUUAAAAUAUAAACCGCGGUAGCAACAGCUUCUGCCCAAAACUCCUUAGGCAUAUGCUUGGCCUUCAACAUGUAUCUCACUAUAUCCAUGAUUGUUAUAUUCUUUCUUUCAGCGACUCCAUUCUAUUGAGGUGUGUAUCUAGUUGUUAACUGAUGCUCAAUCCCAUGUUGCUCAAAGAAACUUGUACCAACGAGGUAUUCUUGGCCUCUGUCUGUUCUCAAUGCUUUGAUUCUACAACCACUUUGUUUUUCUACAAAUGUCUUGAAUGUCUUAAAGGCAUCACAUGCUUCUGAUUUUUGUUUCAAGAAAUACACCCAAGUCUUUCUAUUGAAAUCAUCUAUAAAAGUCAUAAAGUACUUACAACCACCUGGUGUUGGUAUCUCCACUGAGCACAAGUCUGAGUGAAUUAUCUCUAGCAACUUCUUCGCUCGCCAAGACACUCCAGUUGGAAAUGAAUUUCUAUACUUCUUUCCAAUCUGACAAGUCUCACAUACUCCAUUUGGAAUAUUCACAACAGGUAAUCCAGAAACAUAUUCUUUUCUUGACAGGUAAUUCAAACCAGAAAAAUGAAAGUGACCAAAUCUCAUGUGCCACAACCAAUCAUCAUUUGGAAUUAUAGAACUCAAGCAAGGAAAUUUUUCAUGUUGAAUUUUCAAAGGAAAUAGGCGGUUCGGUGUCAUUCUUACCUUUGUAAUAAAUCUGCCACUUUUGUCGAUCAACGUGCAGAAACCAUUGUGAAUCUGCAUGUUGUAACCUUUCUCUGGCAGUUGUCCCAUACUCAAUAGAUUGUGAUGAAGACCAGGAGCAUAAAAAACAUCACCAAUAAAGUUUUAUGAUCCAUCUUUCAACCUGAUAGCAAUUCGACCUUUUCCCAAAAUCGGAAUAUUUGAAUUGUUUCCAAACUUCACGGUAGAUUUUACCGUUUCGUUUAGAGAAGAAAACAAUUCCUUUUUUCCACACAUAUGAUUAUUACACCCAGUAUCUAGAUACCAUAUAUCCUCUUCUUCGAAAAAUGUAUUACUGGCCAAAAAUAAAUUUUAUAGAUUUUCAAAGUACUCACCUGUAUUUUGAUACGAACUCUCUGCCACAUUUGCCUGAUGUUUGUAUCUGCAAUUAACUGCUUUGUGUCCAAACUUUCCACAAUGAUAACAACUGUAAUUUGUCCUUUCUUGGUUAUAGUUUCCUCUUCCUCUACCACGGUAUGAAGAUCCAAAACUAUGACCACCUCUUCGUGGAUGUCCUGGAUUGAAACCAUUGAAGUUGUUGUCUCUCCAUUGGUUAAAAUUGCCACGUCCUCUUCCUCCAUAAUUUCCUCUGCCUCUGCCUUUAUAAUUUCCUCUUCCUCUAUUGUUGAAAUAAUUUUGACCACUUUCUUCUACAGUACGACUUGACUCAGAAGUGUUGUUGAAAUUUACCUGACUUUUGAGAGCUUCUUCUUUUACCACUUUCUCGGUCUUUUCUAAUAUUCUGUUGACAUGACUUUCAAUACUUCCCUGUAACUCUGCUACAGACAAAGUGUCUGUAUCGUGGGACUCAAUUAUCAUAGUCACCACAUGGUCAAACUUCAUCGGCAUCGUACACAGAAUUUUUUCUACCACUUUACUAUUUGGAAUAUCUUCUCCAUACACUCUCAUCUUGUUGACAAGAUUGAUAACACGAGAAAAAUAUUGUUCUACCGUUUCUGAAUUAGACAUUUCGUACCUUUCGUAUUCUCUACGCAGCGAUUGUAGUUUGGACUUCUGAGCUUUCUCUACUCCUUUGUGUGAUAAUUUCAAUAUGUCCCACGCUUCUUUGGCAGUCUUGGCAUUUGUUAUUUUUCCGAAUAUUGAGUAAUCAAUUCCUUGAUGAAUUUUUGAAAGUGCCAACUGGUCCUUUCUACGAGCGACUUCUUCAGCUCCUUUUUGUAAACCGGGUUUCACAAAGCUCCAAACAUUGUGAGCUUUUAGAUGUGUUGUCAUCAAAAUUUCCCAGUAACUAAAAUCUAACUCUGCGGUUAAUUUCGGACCGGACCAGACAAAAUUGUAAUUGCUUGCCAUAUCUCUCUCAAAAAAUACUCACAAUAUUUUUUUUUGACACAACGAGAACUCUUUUGUUCCUCACACACUCAAAAAUAUUUUUGACACUCACACUAGCAAGACCUAACCUGCUUUGAUACCAAUUUGAUAUCUCAGGUUGAAAUAUAUAAAACUCAAACACACAUUACAAAAGAGAGAACAAGAGGAAGUGUAACUUUUCAAGGAUUUGAUAUCAGGUUAAAAUAUAUAAAACUCAAACACACAUUACAAAAGAGAGAACAAGAGGAAGUGUAACUUUUCAUUCUAUUUUGUUUCUGAAAUUGAUAAUACAUAAAGCAUUGCUUUCAUGCCUUUAUAUAGGCCUUGAUAAAGAGAGAACAAGAGGAAGUGUAACUUUUCAUUCUAUUUUGUUUCUGAAAUUGAUAAUACAUAAAGCAUUGCUUUCAUGCCUUUAUAUAGGCCUUGAAGUACAUAUUCUUAGUGGCUAAGAAACUUUGUGAAUUAAUGGAUAAGAAACUUAGCAAGGCAACAUAAUUAGGCAGUGCAUAAUUAGACGGUGAUGUUAUCCACUAGUUUCCUUUCUUAACUUAUAAGUCACAAGCUUAAUUUAACUUUAGACACAUUGCCUUCUACAUUCUUCUAUAAUUAAUAUUUAUAUUAAUUGCCCUAUUUUCUCAAUACUUCUACACAUUACUUGAUUUAAUUUCAACACUCACUCCAUACCAUGAACUUUAUUUCUUGAUUGAUCGGUUUGUUUUGUAAGUGGACACCGCAAAUUGCUUUACUUGGAGCUUUAGGCACUGCAUAUAUGUUUGCUUUAUUUGCAACCUUCCAGGCUUAUGGUUACUACAACAUAUGAGUCGGGCAUCUCCUUGAUGAAAUUAGACCUUGGUGCAAGGCAAGUGAAUAAACUAGAGAAUUGUGUUCAAGUGUUAGCUAACUUUACUUCUGCUUGAAACGCCAUAUGCUCCAACUCAACCAUAAGGAUUAAUGAAAGUCUAUGAAGAAAAGGAUUAGAGAAAUCAACCAAAUUACCAUGCCGAAAUAUUGAAGUUGAUGAAUCACCACCAUAUAAGAACUGAAAUAUCUUAAAAUACCAUAUGAGUAUCAAGAUAUGGAUUGACGGUGUUAAUAUUGAGAGCAUAAAUUUAUCAAGUGAGACCGCCGACAAGACCAAGAGACUUAACAUAUGUUAUUCUAUGUUUUAAAUUAAUUAUCUUUAUUGUCUGAUAAGACGAGUUAAUUUCAUCUGCCGUUUGUUUGUAAACAAAUUUAGAAACUUACUUUAGGUAAAAGGUGUCACUCAUUUCCCAUGCGAGGGCGGGAGGUACCUCCUCUUUUUAUAAGCUUUUAGAAUUAUGUAGGAUAGUCGUCGGAACAAAGAAUUAACAUAGACUUACCCUUCAACAAAAGUAGGGGCCGAGAACGACGAAGAUCUCCAUUGAGAGUGUUCAAGAUCUCAAUUGAGGGCGUCCAACAAGACCUCCACAAGAGAAAAAUCAGUUGCGGUCGGAUAACGUUAAAAAAAAUCUCUGGUCUAACUAAAGUCCAAGCAACUUGGAGCCUAUGGCAUAAUCGGCUGCGGUCGGGUAAUAUUUAAUAAAACAUCUGGUCUAACUGAAGUCUAAUCAACUUGAAGCCUCUGGCAUAAUCGAUUACGGUUGGGUAACGUUUAAUAAAACCUCUGACCUAACUGAAGUCCAAGCAACUUGAAGUCUUUGGCAUAAUCGACUACAGUUGGGUAACAUUUAAUAAAACCCCUGGCCUAACUGAAGUCCAAACAACUUGAAGCCUCUGGCAUAAUCGGUUGCGGCCGAGUAACGUUUAAUAAAACCUCUGGCCUAACUGAAGUCCAAGCAACUUGAAGCCUCUGGCAUAAUCGGCUACGUCCUGGUCAUGUAAAAUAAAAGCCUCUGACCUCCAUUUGAUGUCAACCUCACAUGACUCUGAAUGUCGGAUAGGUUAGCAAAACCUAUAUCCUUUUAAAAAUACCAAAUCAACAUACUUUAGGUUAGGUCAAAAUAAUGUACUUAGGACCUUCAAGGAUGCAUUAUGAUACAUGCGUCUAAUCGGAGCCACCACGAUCCGAUUAGGAUAAAUUGCUGAUUUGUUAAGAAAUAUUAUUCUAUAUAUAUUCCAGCCAGGAUGUACGAUCCCGACUUCAACAGCCCGGGGAUGACCGAAUCUUAUUUAGUCAAGAGUAUUUUAAAAGAUGUCGACAAUAAAGUCCGGAUUACCGUAAUACUUAAACCGGCGUGAUUCAUACCUUAUCAAACUAAAAUUGCUUGGGGUUUAUCAAAUCAGUUGUUAUGCCCGGAUAAGCGAAUAAAUGGAAUAAGAUAAUGAAACUUACCGGGACAUGAUACUAAAAACGUCUGAAAUAAGCUUGAAGAUAUAUGUAUAUGAUCAAAGAUUAGACAAUAUAAAACACAUGCAAGGCAGCAAUAAAACAGUCAACAAACUUUAGAUGGGUUUGAAAUGUUGCAAGGAAAAUCAUCCAUAAUGUCAUGCAUCUGAAAAAGAUGACUAAGGAUAGAACAAAGCUUCAAAAGGUCGAGAUUCCAACAAGGGCUCUCUAACAUCCCCAUAUCUAAAACCUACCAGGUUCUACAAUGACCAUAAGUCAAGACCCCGUUGGGGCUUACCAACUUUUAUAUGACCAUAACCCGCUGAAUUCUAAGACGACACUAGAUCAAGAAUCCACAAAGGAUUUAUGAAUUCUUUAUUAAAGAUGUAGUGUUCUCCGACAUCAUUAAAGACAUAGAUCUCCCCAAAAUAUGCUUGGGGCUUACCCUUCUUAGCAAGUCAAAAUACAAUUUGAGUUUAAAGGCAAGGUAGUUAUCAAAGAUCAGUAGUAGUAAAUCAAAAUACUGCCUUGUUAAAAUCCAAAAACCUAAAUAAGAUCCAAACAUAUUAUGGUAGAGAGAGAGAGAGAGAGAGAGAGAGAGAGAGAAUCUGGAAAAAAGAGAUGCCCCAUGUUAUAAAAGAAUUGCCAUGUUUGUUCACGUUAUUGUGUCGGUUUAGAAAGUGCAUGCAAGUAAUAAUAGGUCGAGUUGUACCUUAUAUUCAAUGGAGAAUAAUGUUUCGAACUUCUUUUGUCCAAACAUUUCACCCUUUCAGGAUUCAUGUCUAGGGUGCAAAAUCGAGAUUUUUAAAUUAGCCGAGAUGUCUAUUUUUGAUCAAGAUGGUCAUGUAGGAACCUCAAACCAGUGCACAUAGGCCGAUUACCGACGUUGGGCGGUCGAGUUCCUUAAGCAAUUAAGAGGCAGGCUAAGGGUCGGAAACUAUUACAAAACGAUUAAUAAAUUGAUUACAUGUUAAUAAUGGUCAUAAAUAGUUACAAGUACAUAUUAAAUCCAUUAUAAAUAAUUAAGAUAAACAAUUAUGUUUAUGAUGGUCAUAAAGCCUAGUUGUUGUGACUAUUCAGUAGGAGGGGGAGGCUGACAGUAUAUAUAGGUCUUGGGACAAAAAAAAGGGAUAUGCAUGAUGAAUAACAUAGAAAUGAGAUAACCUACCAGAAACCUUGAACCACCAACAAUGGUGGCCAUGAACCCCUUAACCGUUACAGACACACCAACAAAUCGUUUAAGGCUCUCCCUGAAUAAUAACAAGGAAGUCAACCUUUUAAUGAUUUAGCAAGAACAAAUAGUACAAUCGUUUCUUCCUCCAGCCAUACCUCACAUACCAACAAACAACUAUUAGAAGAAACAUGCAUCGACAUUGUUCAUACAUGUGUACUAGGGAACCAAUCAACAUUACAAAAACCUAGUCGGGUGGACUGACAUGUCAUAAUACCUCUAUGUAACAUCCUAAACCCUAAAACUUAUAUAUAAAUAUAUAAUCAACAACUUAAGGUGUCACUACGGCAAUCAUCGAAAAACUUUCAAAAACAUUUAACAACUUGCAGUAGAAAUUAUCAUAAUAACAACUUCAAAAUUCAAUUUCACAAUCAAAGUAUUAGACUUUAUACCACAUAAUUCAACAUUAAUUCAAAACAUAAUAAAAAGGCCUCGUUCCCGAUGUUACCGACCAGAGCAUUUAACCGACUAAAAACAAUAACGAUAAAGUAAAUAAAGAUGAGCUCCAAGAAGCUAUCUUAAGCUCACAUCAACCAAACUCUACUCCUGAUUAUCAGCUAGAUGUCCAUGGUGGACAACAUAAAGCAAAUGGGUGAUAAUGCACUCAAAUAUGUUAACGGUGCAAAAGAUCAAUAAAGGUAUCCUAAACAACAACAACAACAAUCAUCAACAAGUAAUAUAUUCAUACAACAAUCAUCGAUAACAUAAACUCAUACAAAACACUUCAAUCAACUCAUACAAUCAAUUACUCAUUCGCAUCAACUCAUAUCAGCAGCUAACUAAAACUCAAUACAGAUAUGUAUACAAUGCCCAACUCCUUAACUCUGUCAAUGCUCGUCACAGUCUUCUCUCUGGACCGGACUUGCAACUUAACUCUAUAUACAUGUGGUACCAACUCAAAAAUGGUUCUUCAUACAAUCAGGUCCAAGAUCUGAGCUCUAAGCCCCCUCUCUGGGCUUGGUACAAAUCAUAAGUCCCCACAUCUGAACUUGUGACUCGCCUCUUUCACAACAACGAUAACAUAUGAUGCAUGACAUACAACAAUGCAAUGACAACAAAAUAACAAUGCUUAUAUCCCCACAUAUGACUAUAAACAACCAUGCAUAACAAAAACCCAACAAUUAUUACAGCCCCACAUAUGAUUGUAAACAAUUAUGCAAUGACAACAACACAACAACGAUUACAACCCCACAUCUGACUAUAGAAAAUCAUGCAUUUAAACGCAUCAACAAUAGUACUCACUUUGAACUAUGCAUCUCAAUAGUCAUCAGCAAGUAUUUUUAAUAAUUCACAUAAUUAUACUUUCACUUCACAUCAUAUACUCACACAUCAAAUACACAUAUGCACAUCACUCAAUCAUGUUAAAUCAUCGUAACAUCGCUUCAUCAUUAAUUCGUUCAUUCACAAUAAUUAACGUUCGUUUGUUACUGUAAACUAUUACAUAACAGGUACAACAAUUAAUUUUCACAAAUUCCAGUACUCAUAUAGUCUCUUAAUACAUCACUAUGGGGUAUCCGUACAUGUUAGCUUUCCAAAGCUUCAAACCGUAUCUCAUUUGGAUUUAUGGAACUAAAGUUAUGAUCAAAAUAAUGUUUUGCUAAAAUUACUCAAGUGCAAUCGAUUAUCAUCGUUCGUCAAUCGGUUGUUGUCACGCAUAUAACUAUUUUUCACGUUUUUUAACAGCUCCAAUCGAUUGUCAUCAUGAGACAAUCGAUUAUCAUAAGUUGUGUUUUCCCCAAAUACCAAUUUUUACAGCACGAAUAACAAAAUCACUUAUUCCUAAGACCCACCGAAACACACCCUAACAUAUUAUAACAACUUAUUUCAAAAAUCUAACAUCAUAUAGCAAUUAUAUACUGUUAUUACAUCAUAAACCUAUCAAUUACCAUCUAAUUUCACCAAUUUAACAUCACUAGAAAUGCAUCAUGAAAAUCAUCUUCAUGUUGAUCAUCACCAAUACAACACAUCAAUAAUAACAAUGCAAAAAAUAAGAUUUCACAUAAUCAUGCAUCAAGCUUUUUAAAGAACACAAUAAUAGAGAAAACCUAGAGGAGGGUGAGGAUCCAUCUCUACCCUUCAUACAAUAUACACCCAUAAAAGAGUAAUCUCCCUCCUUACCUUAGAAUUUCCAGCAAAGCAAACUCUAAGCUUCCCAAAUCCUAGGUUGUUUCUCUUGUCUUUUUUCUCUUGUUCUCCAAAAUAAUAGGUACUAUAAAAGAUAUACUCCUAAAUUUUUAUAUUUAAACCAAAACGUAAUUUCCCUUAAUUAUGUUAUUCCCUUAUUACCCUCAGCUUACUCCCAUAUUCUCUAUCUCGCCCCUACUUCUCUUACUAACUUCUAAUUUCUUUUAUUUUAAUUUCUAAUAACUCAAUUAUCUACCAAAUUAUACAAUUUCACUUAUUUUUCUACAACCAUCUUAUUUUUAUUUUAAAUCUAAAUUUCCUCUCAAUAAUAUCAUUCUUAAUCAUUCCUCUCCACUUAAAUUAAUUAAAAUUAAUCUAAUUAAUUUCUACCAUUCCCUUAACUUUCUUCAAUACCCACAAAAAUACAUAUAUUCACCAAUUAUUCAAAUAAAAACAUAUAAAUUAAUUUAAUAAUUACAUAAAAUAAAACUAAAUUCAAUUAAAUAAUUUAAUUGAAUUCGUGGUGUUAUAGCGCUCGUCUGAUGUUUUGGAGGGAUAGGGGAAGGAAAUUGCAGGUUGUCAUCACUGAUGUUGAACUCACUCUCUUUAUGAGGAGACUAACAUGGUUUGACAAUAUUAAAUUUUUUAACAAAUGAAGUCAAAUAAGAGUAGGAGACCAGAAGGUACAAACUAGAGCUUCUUUGCUGGAAGAAUCGUUGGCAUCAUCAUAUAAUUGCUUUGUCAUUGAAGGCCCUACUGCAGAAAAGGUUUUCACUUUCUUUCUACCCUAAAGGAAUAAAACAGAUUAGAACGUCGACAAGAAAAGACUAAAGGAAAAUAAGGUUAAAUACCUUUUACCUGUGAAAUUCUUGUAGUGCUGAUGCCUUGAGAGCUAGCAGUCAACGCCUUUGGAUUGGAGGGAACGCCUGAAAAAGGUAGAAAAAAUGCAUUAGAACCCAAAAGGUAAGUAAGGCAAGAUAAAGAGAUUAUCACUUCAGAUCUAGUCGACAAAGAUUACCUUGGUCCCAAAAGAAAGAGAAAGCGUCGACCAAACAUUGGGCCAAGAGUGUAUGAUUUGGAAAAUCGGUGUAAUGAAUAGCUCACCAGUCCUCAAACUCUUGGGUGCAAUGAUAAGAGAGCGAAAACUUGAAGGAACUAAGGAAACCUCUUUUCUUUUUCAAAAUAAGUGGAAACUUUUAAGCCAUCUUUCGUUAUGUGUGUUGGUAGAGAAGAAAAAAACCUCUACUUGAGGAACUAAGAUUUUAGGCAGCAGUUAGCUCAAACCAAACUGCAUGGCUGCCAAGUUUGGAUUGUAAGGAUAUGCUCUUAGUCCUGAAUUAGAGGAGGCGGACCUUGCCCAAAUAGCGGUGGGUUGGAAGCAUGCGAGCAAAGUAUCAUGUAUUUCCUUUUCUUCUUGACGAGAUAAAUUAGGAAAUGGUUUCCUGAACCAUUCAGGUCUACACUUUCGACUGGAAAAUGGUGUCAUGAUCAAAGUGAACGUCUUGCACCUAUAUAAAAUUUAUAAGUAAGUACAAAAGACCUUCAAAUACAUAGCCUUUCCAUCGUCGAGAGUAAGUUAGUCAAGCCUUGGACCUUCGACUUCACCUCUGAGCUAGAAGGAGUUCUUGUUUUUAGGAAAGGCUCGAAAGUGUCAUUGAGCUACAAUUGCAAAAGCUAGGUAUGACCACCUACCUGAAGGCUUCCAAGACUUGCCAUUUUCUUCAGGUUUUGUGACACUAACCCUAGAGAUUCAUACAUGCCACAGAGAAAUAAUCUGUUGAGGCAUACUUUUCUCCCUUCAUGAAGUUGGGUGGCCAAAGGUACAUACUUCUUAGCCAUCUGAGCAGAUCGAGCACAUAAAAAAUACAUGGAAAGCUAAUAGGUUAGAAAAGCAAUGUGUUCAUAAGCAUCCACUCGAUCUGUCGAAGCUUGAUGAUCUUUGAUGAAGAAGCUGUAAGUAUUUCUAGUGAAGGUAAACCCAUGACUUUUUCUUGUCUUAGUUGGAGGCUCAAAGGCCCCUCUAGUUGGUCGAAGGACAACGAUAACAACAAUGUCGAAAAGUGUGAGGGUUAUCAUCCCACAAGGAAGGUGAAAUAUGUUGGUCGAGGUAUCCCAGAAGCACAUGGCUGUAAUGAGCAUGUGAGAGUUGUGAUUUGGACCAACUCGUCACAACUGGAUUAGGUCAAAGAUGCCCAAAUCCCUCUAAAAAGUUUCUUUUUUUCUUGAACACUAUAUAACCAUUGAAUGUAAUCAACAUCCUCAGUCGAAAGGGAAGAAAUAAAGGCCAUAUUCUUAAAGAAGUUAAAAACAAAGGGGCAUCCACGAACACUAGAGGUUCAUAACCAGGGAAGUAAUGGAAGAAAUAUUUUAGUAUUUAGGGUUUCUUGAUACGCUUGAGGAGAGGACCUAUGAUGCAUAGGUGGUACUUGCAAUGGAGUAAGGAAUCAAAUAAGUACUAUACCAAUCAUUUCUUCUUCCAUCCUCCAUGGGAGGUUCAGAAAUGUAGGUGCGAUCGUUCAAGAAGAGUGGUUCGUCAAUGACAUUAGCAAAAGGAGGAUGUGAUUGUACUUUGGGAACCACUGUUGAUUUUAAAGGCUUCUCAAGUGGAAGCGUAAUGGGGAAGAAGAAAAACUGUAGAAUAAACUCUCUCAAGGUUUCCUUUUUCUAUUUUAUGUUUCAGAAAAAUAGAAAUGGUGAAAGAGAAUAGGGUUUUAGGGAGAACAUUUUAAAUAGAUAGAGAAAGAAGAUGGUUCAAUUUUUCCCUCCAAAUAAUUAUGGACACAUAGCGCACUCGAGUUAACAGUUGACACUAAAAGGCCAUCGAAAAAGAUGAAAAAUGGAAUUAUGAGUUUUGUCUUAAUUUCGUUUUUAAUAAAUCUCCUAGGAAAUAGGGAAUUCUGAUAAUCAAUUGCACACACGUCUGUGAUGUGAAAUAAUGGUAGAAAAUGGUCAUAAUGACUAAGAAAUAAUAAUUAAAUAAUAAGACAUUUCGUUGAUGUGACAUGUGCAUACUAGGCAAACAAUGUCUAAGGGUUACAAAAACGUCACCUUUCUUCAAUCUGAUAAUAUGAUCAAAAAUGAUUUUUUUGGGGCGUCUGUUAGCAUGAAAUUUCUAGUUAGGAAAAGUCAAUUGAAUGUUGCAUUGGAAAAAUGCUAAACGUUAGCAUUGAUUGACACAAGUUGACAUGAAUGGGUACGUCGACUAGAGUGUUUCGACUAACAUCCAAAUCAAGGUCUGGAAGAAUCUCAAUAAAAGAUCUUGAUACAUGGUUUGGAGGAGUCUCAGGAACAUAUCUGAUUGAUCUCCCGACAUCGUGUCGAGGGGAAAGCGUUUGACGAACUUCAAAGACUUAGAAGAUUUUGAAAACCAAAGACUGGAAAGGUUAAUUAGUGUUUUUAGCAAUUACCUUCGAUGAGUAGGCAAUUACUAGUCACUAAGAGCAGUUACGAACGUGGGAUAAUGAUUUUCAACAAUUUUCAAGUACUGAUGAUGUGGCAGUGCAUCAGAAUAUCAAGUUACAUGUUCUUGAAGGUGUGUCGAUUCUCUAGGUAUAAGCUGUUAAAGACGGUUAUCUUUAGUUUAACAUAUAUAGUAGUUUCAUAUGUUCUAAUCAAUGUCACAAAUUUUAUAUACUUUCUCUAUAGAACUGGAGUACCCAAGUCAAAGUGCGAAACAAUUUGUGAGUAACAUGUGAGUCCACGUCCAUUUUGUUUUAUUGUCUUUAUGUUUCCUUAAUUGAAGCAUCUUUACCUUUUGUCAUUUAUUGCGUUUAUUUAAUGUUGUUUAUUGCAAAUUUCUUUUACUGUAAUUCAAGAUUUUUCAUCGUUAAAGUUUGUCUUUAACUUACCUGCACGCAAAGAUUCAUAUUCACUUCAUAUACAUACUUUCUUGUUAACGUGUUUGUACAAAAUUGCUCCUGAGACUUUUCGAGUUAAUUUCAGAGACUUUUAAACUCGUGAUUGUUCGCUAAAAACACAUGCGAACAUUAUGUAAAAAGACGGUUAUCUUUAGUUUAACAUAUAUAGUAGUUUCAUAUGUUCUAAUCAAGGUCACAAAUUUUAUAUACUUUCUCUAUAGAACUGGAGUACCCAAGUCAAAGUGCGAAACAAUUUGUGAGUAACAUGUGAGUCCGCGUCCAUUUUGUUUUAUUGUCUUUAUGUUUCCUUAAUUGAAGCAUCUUUACCUUUUGUCAUUUAUUGCGUUUAUAUAAUGUUGUUUAUUGCAAAUUUCUUUUACUGUAAUUCAAGAUUUUUCAUCGUUAAAGUUUGUCUUUAACUUACCUGCACACAAAGAUUCAUAUUCACUUCAUAUACAUACUUUCUUAUUAACGUGUUUGUACAAAAUUGCUCCCGAGAUUUUUCGAGUUAAUUUCAGAGACUUUUAAAUUCAUGAUUGUUUGCUAAAAACACAUGCGAACAUUAUGCAAAAAGAAAAAAAAGAGAAUCAUAAAUAGGUUCCAUAUAAGUUGCAUUAUAAAUAAAAAAGUAAAAAAACAAACAAAGAAAGAUUUAUGAAAACUAUGUUGCUGGCUUAAAAUAAGACAUGAAAAUAUCACAAGCCUUUCCAUGUAUCAAGGCUCAACACAUUUUAUCCAUAAAUUGACUAUACCACAAGUAUUUGUAAAACUUAAAAUAAAUUCACAUUUUAUCCAUAAAUUGACUCUACCACAAGUAUUUGUAAAACUUAAAAUAAAUUCAGUUAAUACCAAUCACCAUCACAUGCGCAACCAUGUAUUUCAACAUUCAAAUAAAAUUCACAAUAUCAAAUCUAUCUAUUUCUCUAUUAUUACAAAUAAAACUAUGUUUUGAUCCACCACAUAUAUUAUGCAUGGUCUUAUUCAUGAAAAACGGACAUACACUAGAGCGAAACAAAGCAAUGUAGCACAAUAUUUAGUAUGUGUUUCAAUGAUGCAAUCACUACUAUAAUAUAAAAAUGAGUUGUAACCAAAAUGUAUUUUUUUUUUAAGUCGCAAAAUUGCAUUCGAAUGAAUAAAUCCAAAAUGUAAAUCUUUUUUUAAAGUGGCAAAACUGCAUUCGAAUGAAUAAAUAGACAAAGGCUCGAGAAAAUAUAACUGUUGGGGGAGUUUUUCACUAGAGAGCAUUGAAUAUUGUGAGACUUUCUUUUUCCAGAGCAACACCUUUGUGAGAGACACACCACAUAUUCACCCAAAAUCUUAAGGUGAUAGGUGAGUGAGUUCUCUGACUUAUAAAUGCUCAAGUCUCCAUAUUACCAACCAAUAUGGGUCUAUUAUCCACACUACUCACACUUAAUACAUACACUCCCCCUCAAGUGUGAGUCCACAAUGCUCCUCAAGUGAAAGUUCUUCUUACUUUCACAAAUCCUUGUACCGUACAUAACAUUUCUUAUUAACCACACUGGCGCUGUUGACACUCUUCAACGAAAUGUUUCUUAUUCACCAUCCUAGCGCCGUUGACUUUCGAUACAAGUAACCCGAUCCCUUUCUGAAACCAAAGGCUUGUGAUACCAUAGUUGGGGGAGUUUUUCACUAGGGAGUGUCAUACGGUGAAUUGACUUUGGGUGCUUUUGCUUUGGAAAGCAAAUGUCGCGGAUAGCAAGAUUCCCCACCGACUUUUCUUUUAUCCAAUAAGGAAAGGCGGAAAAGAACAGGAAAGACCUUGAUUAGAUUUUGGGUUCGGGAGGUACAUUAUACAAAGGGAAAGUGUUAGCACCCUUUGUAUCCAUGGUUAUCCAUGGGCUCUUAAUUGCUUGAUCACUUAUGUUUUUCUUGUUUGAAAAAGUGUUUGGGAAGCUGUUUAAAAAAUGUUUUGAAAAGAGAGUUUAACUUUGUAAUGAUUCUUGUACGAAUGUAUACAAAGUAUUUAUCUCGUUUAAUUUUGAAAGCUGUUUAGAAAAAUAUAACUUGGCAAUGAUUCUAGUACGAAUGUAUACCAAUGGUGAUUUCUAAUAGAUGUUUUGCAAAGUAUGAGGUGUGAAAAGUAUUUUAGUUGUGAGUAAGCAUUUAAGAGUUAUACCUACCCAAGGUUUUUAUGGCAUUUCCUACCUUAUGAGGGUAAAACUCCUUACUAUUGAGAAGUAAGUAGUCUAUCCUUGGAUGUAAAGGGACAUCGUAGGUCACUCGAUUGGUCAUUGAAGGCAACAUUGUAAGGAUACCUAGCAUUCGAAGGGACGAUCAUCAUUAACCGUAGCUACAACGACGGCCAUCGAGGGACAAAAUCGUAUAUUCGAAGGCAACAUCCGAGGACUAUGUAUUAUCUAUAUAGGGACGUGAUGAUUUAAUCGAAGGGUCUUGCUAAGUGUAUCCACGGUUAACAUUCAGGAUAUUCAUGCAUACUUAAACCCACAUGCAAAUCUAACUACAUAUCCAAAAUUCAAUCAUAAUGCAUCAUGUAUUUAGAGAUACAAAUUGGAAAUAUAAACGGUCGUGAUGGUGCAAACCUGUUUGCGAUUGAAUGCACCAGUGAAUUGGCAGAUCACUCUUAGGGUUGUACCGGAUCGAGUGGGCGGAGGUAACCUUUUGCAGGUGAGUUUCCUUCAGGGUUUCUUUAGGGUUGCUCUGAAUUCUUUUGGUUAGCCUCCCAGGGUUUUGCUCUCUGUGCGUGUUGUGUUCUCCUUUUCUCCUCUGUUUUUCGUCCUCCCCUUUCUGAAUGAGGUCUUGGUAUUUAUAAUAGUAUUUUUGUGACCUAAUGGGCUCAGAAUGAAGCCCAAAAUUUCUGGUAUUCGCAAGCUCGCUAGGCGAGUGUGCAGCGAAGAGUUCGCUAGGCGAAGGAUUUGCUCGCCUAGCGAGCAUCUAGUUUGAGUCAUUUUCUGGAUUUGGCCACCUGGGAGCUGGGUCUUUGUUCCUUUAAGAUCAAUGUCUGAACAAUGAGUGGAGUGCCUUGAAGAAUAUCUUGAAAGAUUACCACUACGCCAAAUAAGGAAAAGAGGGCGCUUUUUUGGCCUAUAACAGCGCUUUAAAGCGCCCUCUAAUCUGGCGCUGACAUAGGUAAAGACAGCGCUUUUUCCUGGUAAAGCGCUGUCUAAAGUGGCUCUUUAAGCCCUUUAAGGCCACUUUAGAGGCGCUUUUUAAGAAAGCGCCCUCUAAAGGGAACAUUUAAGGUUUAGAGGCCUUACUGGAAAGCGCCCUCUAAAGUGGAAACUUUUAAGGGUUUAGAGGCGCUUUACUGGAAAGCGCCCUCUAAAGGGAAACAUUUAAGGGUAGAGGGCGCUAUUUACUGGAAGCGCCCUCUAAAGUGGAAACUUUAAGGUUUAGAGGGCGCUUUUACUGGAAAGCGCCCUCUAAAGUGGAAAUUAAAGGGUUUAGAAGGCGCUUAUUUUGGGAAGCGCCCUCUAAAGUGGUGGUUAUUUAAUUUUUUUUUUUUAAAAGCGCUAUAUUUUUUUAUUUAUUUAGACAACCUUGUAGAUGCAGUAGUACACCCAAAACUGUAUAAUUGAAGCCCUUUUUCACACAUGCAUUCAACAAGCCUAUAUACAAACAAUCCAUACAUAUACAACAAUCCACUGAUAUAUAAUCUGUUAACUUCUAAAGAUUCUAAAUAUACAACCAAUUCAUAACUUAAAAAGAAAAAAACUAAGUAGCAAAAGCACUCUGAGAUGUAUGUUUUUUUUGGCUACAGCAGUCUUCUUAGCAACAACCUCUUUUUGUUCAUAUCAAUAGCAUGAACCUAAAAUAUCAUAAAAGUUAGGUGAAGUAUAAGAUCAAGAAUAACAUUUUCUAUGCAUAAAUAUCAUAUAAUUGUUUUAUACCUUUUUUUUAAUGCAACUGACCGAUUUGUGCGAAUCCCUUUAUUUUGGUCUCUUAUCUUUGAAGAUAGAAUUGAUAUUUGUCUAGAUGGACAUGUUCCAUUGUCGAGAGAUACUUCAAAAUAUCCGCAUCAUCAUCACGCGAAUGAGGCUUGACGACAAUGGAACAUCUCCAUCUAAACAAAUAUCAUGGAUACUUUCAAAGUAUCCCUUGCACGAAUGAUUGACUUCAUAAUAGCCAUUUUACAUGUAAUAAAGAAACAAUUAAAAUCAGAUGACAAAUGUAAAAACAAUAAACACAUAAAUAAGUCUUUACUGUAAUAAAGAAAACAAUAAAAAUCAUUUGACCAUGUCCUUUUUCACUAAAGUUCUCUUUCUUUCUUAGUUGGAAUAUGUUCUACAGUCUCUGUAACAACGACGGUACGUUGAUUGACAAAUACCCUCAUAUCGAUCAUUUCUAAUAUAUGAACAUUGAUAUAACAUAUCUCAUCUUGAUCAUUUCUGUAAACGAUUCAAUCCAACAUCAAUAUCACCUGAAUCUCCAUGUUUCAUCAAUUACUUUGUUGGAAAAAGACUAUAGAUCAUUUCGUACUUUUCGAUCAAUGACAUAAACACUUGUCUAAGCUUGAGAGGCUAGAAUAAAGACUAUCUUUGUAUCCACCGCUAUUAAGACCACUUGCAAAAUCCUGACUUAUCCAUUCGAAUGCCGUUUAUAUUUUCAACCCACUUGCCAAACCAAAUAUAGAAUCUGAAACUCUCAUAAUCAAACACCCAAAUGCGUUCGAUAACACCAAAAUACGACAGAUUUGGCAAAUGGGGUUAAGUCCUUCACAACUUGAUAUGUGCAUUGUUUUCAGCUACCACGGUGACACCACUAUCUUCUGUUAGUACUUUUAUCAUCUAUGUUCUUUGGUAUAAAAUGGUAUCCAUUAAUCGCAUGCUGCGCUAUAAGAAAACAUGGAACUUGGACCAUAUGCUAAGCAUCUCUAACCUUUCUGUUGAAGCGGGAUCUGAAUAAUACUUUGAAUAAAUACGAUCCUUAAAACGCAAGAAAAACAUCGCUGCGCUCUCGUACUAUCCAAUUUUUCAUUUCUAUUGGGAUUAAACCUCGGAGACAUCCUGUGAAUUCAACAUCGGGCUCAACCUCAUCUCAUUGGCAGAACAUACAAAUGCACUUGACCCGUAUCGACCUUGAAUACUGCCACGAUUUUUUUCCAAUUAGAUUUUUCCUUCUUUCUUUUCGACCAGCUGAGACUUGGGAGUCCGAUUGACUGAACCAUUAGACAAAUAUUCAGUACAAAACUCAAUCACUCUUCAAACAAUGUACUUUCAACCAGUACAACCUUCUGUCGACUUCGGUUCUUCACGUACCCUUAUUAUUUUAUAUUUCAUAUAACGUUCAACAGGGUACAUCCAUCCAUAUAAGUUGGUCCACCACAUUGUGUCUCCUUUCACAAGAUGAACACUAGAUGUACCAUUAUGUCAAAAAUGAUGGAGGAAAAAACAUUUCAAGCUCACACAAAUAAUAACGAUUUCUUUUGCAACAUUGGUAAGAUCGCAGGAGUGAUCCCUUACUGCAAUGACUUGAAAGAACGAACCACUUAGUUAUAGAGCUUCUUACUUUCUCUGGAAGAAUAGAAGCUAUACCUAUGGGAAAAUGUUCCAUUAUAACAUGGCAAUCAUGCGGUCUUUAACCUUUAACUGUAGGUCUUUCAUAACACAAGUCUUCUAAUUACUGAAGGUACCCUUCUGAACUUCUAACUCUCACUUAGAAACUCACACAUGUUUUUUUCCUUUUCUAGAUAGAGUAUACGCAGCAGUCGGUAGAUAUGUUCUUCCUUUCUUCAAGGUCCUAAUUCAGUCUAUUUCGCCAUCCUAUCCAGUCCUUUCUUGCCUUAAGGUCAUCCUUAGACUUUCUUGUAUAGUGAGUACGUGCCAAAUAACACUUCAAUACAUAUUUUCAAUAUCAUACAGUCAGAAAAUGUACUCACAUACAAGGGACUCCACAUAACGGCAAUCAAAAAAUAACUGACCUCUUCUUCACCCCACUUUGACAGUGUUGGCAAAAGCUUGGCCAAACUGGUACCAACAUCUUUCACACUUUUCAAAAAUUUGAAUCACCCGUCAAUAUAGGUAGGAAGCUCUGCUUUGUCCUGUCUCUCCAUUGAACGCCUGUUCUCCACAGUACGUGAAUGAUUUGAAUUUAAGAACUCCGAUGACCGAGAAUGACAUUCUCGACCAACAUCCAAGCCUUUCCAAUCUGUUAUUCUUCACAAAUAGGAACCACACUUGACCUUUUAGUUCAUAACCCUGAUAGAUUUCUGUAUGCUGGAAAAUCGAAAUUGUGCACAACAACAUCGCCCUCAAUUGAAACUUUCUUAUCUAUACCAUGCAUAAACCUCACACACCGUGUCUCCACCACAAAAAUCUUUAAAUCUUCGUUAAGGGCUUCAAGUUACACGUCUAUGUCGAUUCCAUGGUUGUUUAGAUCCAGAAAUCAACAUAGACACAAUGUACUUACGCUAACAUACAAGCACAUGGAGGUAGGUUAGUAAAUCAUAAAUAUCACAAGCCAUGUACUGCUGUGCAGAUACUUCUGGAUACCGUGUGCGUUAUUCCAUCAGUAGAUAAUGCCAAGCGAGUUCUUGAUCCUUUCUCCAAAUUCAGGAUAAUCAUUAUCAAUUUUAACAAUUUGAGUGAAGUUCGCCGGGAUAGUCGAUACUUUUCGCAUCUAUAAUUCUUCAUUUGCAUGUCAGGUCAGUGUUCUGAAUCGGUUCACUACGAACAUGCGUCGAAACUUCGGGAAUAACAGGAAAAUACCUCACAAGACUUUUGGCGGAGACACUGUUCUUAAUACGCAAUAACACCGCAUUAGGAACUCAUUACGAUGGCAUACUCAUUUCGAAAACAAACGCAAUCGAUUGACAUGCAAUUAUCUUUUCAUAGCUUCAUGCCAAUAGAGCACGAACAUCUUUGUUGGUCUCAUAUGUUCGAUUGGAAGAACAGUUAUCCUCAGAGGAUAGCAUUUCAAAAGGGUAAUUAAUCUGUGAAACUUUUACCCGACCAUUCCAUUGCCCGCUCUUAGAAGUUGUUACAACUUAUAUAGUACCGCAGACUUUGUGAAUUUAGUGCAACCAUCAUAGCAAAGGUUUCCGUGCCAUCACUUACAAACUCUCCAAACAUUUCGGGACCAUCGCCUAAGAUCUCCUUACAAGUGCUUCAUGCAAUCUCUUUCCACUCGAUCACAAUCGUAUGUAUCUGCGCACUAUAUUUGACGGCACUGGUCGUACUAUCCCCCGAGUUGCAACAUUGCUCUUACUUUUCUCACCAUGCAAAUUCCAACAUGGUAAAACUUCUCAUCAAUUCCAUGCCUCAUUGCAUGCGAUGUCACUGAACUGCGUAACGCCGUUUCCCAUAACAAUACACCCAAGCAAGGAGCAUAUCAUUCUACUGGGGUCUUCGCAGUUAGUGGCAGACGGAAAUUAACGAAUUCUGCUACCCCAUUCUCGGUACUCUCGUCGACAAGUCGAUAUGAGAGACAUCCAUUUAUGUAUCCCUUACUAAUUUAGAAUAACAAAAACAAUUCAGAAGAGAAACCCAAAAUGGGAUGAGACAACUAACAAUUUGCUUAUUGAGUUAGUCUCUGUGCAGGGCACUCAAUGUCUCCAUUACUCUAUCAAAUAACUCCAUACCUAAACUUUAAUUACUAGCUACGCUAGUGAACGCUAAGUUACUAGACACAAAGUUUCGUAUGUUCUAUAAUUGCAACCUAACUGAACCCUAAACACGUUGAUGAUGUGAUUCAAGCCUGAGUUAGUCAAAUUCAGCAUUAAAAACCAACCUCAAUGCAUAAUAACCAAAAACUAUUAAAUUGACUAUGAUAUUGAAACUUUACAGGUCGAGAACAACGUAGCAGUAGACAACAAUCAAAGAAAUGAAAUUGGGGCAAAAGCGAUGAAAACAAAGCAAUAUGCAAGAAAUGUAUGCAUCGAUGUACCUUUUGAUGGAAGAAGAGGAAACGUCAGUAGAUCUAAAGAGGGGAAGGAGAACGCCGUAGAACCCUAACGUGAAAAAGAAGGAAAGAUAUACAGAGGUGAAUGAACAAACACGCACAGUAUCUUAUAAUUUUUAUGUUUAGCUAAAGAGGCCUUACGAGGGCGGCUUGUGAGAAAAAAGCGCCCCUUAAAGGGGCCUAAGGGCGCUUAUGGAACGCUCUCUAAGGCUUCAAAGCGCUUUAUAAGCACUGUAAUGCACCUAUGGACUUAUAACAGCGCUUUAAUUAAAAGCGCCCUCUACAGGAACUUAGAGAGGCGCUUUUACAAAGCGCCAUUUCGUAUUGUCUCCUCAUCUCCUCCUUAUUAUUUUCGCUUCACUUAGAGGACCUUUAUCAAAAGCGCCCGUCAAAGUGCCGCUGCUAUUGACUAUCCUAUUUAUUCGCAUUACAUACUAUAGAAGAGCGCUUGUUGUAAAGAAAAGCGCACUCCUGAAGGUGCUUAUCUACUUUCCAUAUAUUUGGCGUAGUGAACGGCAAAUAUUCUGGGUAAGACACUCCCUGUUACAUAUUCUUAGACCAGAGAGUAGAAUGGUAUGUACGCCUCAGUGAUCUGGAGUGGAAGACUUAUUGAACCCUAGAUCCCGAAAUUGCACUUGUUAAUUGGAGAUGGUCUGAGCGGAGAUGGCAUUAGAGAUAGCCAUCUCAGAAGUUUGAUGAAUGAGAGGCUCAGAGUGUGAUGCUACAUCAGCCCGACAUCUGAGAGACCAUGAGGUGCCACACCGGGUCGACAGACCGUAUAGUUGAGCAUCCAUUAGCUCACUUCACGGGGAUAAAGAUCAGAAGGGAACGACGCUAGAUCGUAUCUAGUGUCAGAAUGAGCCUACGUUAGGCUGCAUCUAACGAAAAAGAAUCAGCAAGGAUGUAUGCUAAGAUCGAUCUGAGUGCAGAAUGACCGUACGUUAGGCUGAUCUAAGAAAGUAGUCGUACGCUAGACACACCUCGGAAUGUACCGUACAGGAGACGAGAAUGAAGAUCAGAAUGGAUCGUACCUAGAUUCGUACUGAUUGGGGCAAUAGCCGACGUGUUGUAUCUGACAAAAGUAGCGGACGCUAGACUACCCCCGAAUUACCGUUACGCUAGUAGUAUGAGAAUGAAGAUUAAGAAGGAUCGUACGCAUAGAUCGUAUCUGAGUUGUAGAAUGAGCAUACGUUAGGUUGUAUCUACAAAGAUCGAUCCGUAGACUAUCGCCUCAGAAUGUACCGUACCUAGGUAGUAUCUAGGAAUGAAGAUCAAAGGAUAUACGCUAGAAUCGUACGAGCUCAGAAUGUACCGACGGUAGGCUGUAUCUUGACAUAAAGAGUUGACGCUAGACUACGCCUCGACAUGUACCGACCCUAGUAGUACUGAGGGAGAACAUCCCAAAUGGGUCGUUACGCUAGAAGCGUAAUUGAAAGUUGAAAAAAUUCAUUGAAUGUUGGGCUGAAUCAGAGAACCAUACGUAGGCGUAUCUGAUAAAUUUGUAUACGUUAUAUUUGCAAAUAAAUGUACGGGAGGCUUAAAGAUGCCAUCAUUGAGGAGGAUAUCAGCUGCUUGUCAGAAUGAAUGUUCAUAGAUUAUAUCGAAAGACGUAUCCGAACCUUAUUAAUCAAAAGAGUACCCGCGAACCGAAUCUUUAUUUUGACUGUAUCAGGAGGAUAAUUAACCUGAAAAAUAAAGUUAGCUUCAUGCCAUGUCAUGAUGCAUGAGAUGUUUUAUGCUUGCGAACAUUGUAUGCAUGCGUAUGCUGUGAAAUGAUGUAAUCAAUGAAUUAUGCGUCUGAGAAGUUCUGCCAGGGGAAAAUAAAUCCCGAGAUUCCGGUUGGAGACAUUUGUAUUGAUGAAUCUUUCUUAGCUGGGGGUAUUUGAUUUUUGUCUGAUGGUAGAAAUAUUCACCAGAAGCCCGGCUGGGGAUGGAAGAGAUGACCAGUCUGUCUAGUAAUGCCAAUUUCUUCUGGGGAAUAAUUGGCUUUGCUGGGGGAUAAAAUUAGCAACGGAUUCAUUGGAACGCAUGGUUAGACCUUCUCCUCGAUCCUGAAGUCUUUUAGUAAUCGCUAUUUCUAUUUUAUGCAUGUAUUUUUGGUAAACAUCGAUCAUAUUCAAAUGCAUAUAUUAAUUCAAAUUAAAUCAAUGGACAUUUACGCAACCAAAACAGAAAAGUAAAAACAAAAGCAUCUUUUUUUUGAAAGAGGGUUGUAUUGAUUUUGAAAGGAGGCCUAUAAACAGGCAAUUUGUGUACAAGGAGACAGAAAUCCUAGUAAGAGGAAAUUGUCAAGAAAACAAAGAGAAAGCUAUGCAGAAAAAGUCCUAUUGAUUUUAAUUCCACUACUGUCAUUAUGUCUUCAAGCCUCUCAUCUCCUGCUGUCGGAUAGAAGUGAUUGGCUUGUUCAGUCCCUUUGACUUGGGUGAAGCUGACUGAGAACGGGACAUAGUCAUACGCUUUAAUCCCUAAUUUUUGCCUGGACCGCCUUUUCAGGUUUUCAGUCCACCAGGAUACCCUUUUUUGCCCAAGCCGCCUUUUCAGGUUUUCGACUUGCCGGGUGUACAUUUUUAUAUGUUUAUCCCUAAUUUUUGCCCGAACCCUUUUGGUUCGCCGGGAUGCCCUUACUUUUGCCUAGAUACGUCGACCUAGCGGGUCUCUUUUAUGCGUAGUAUUUUUUAACUAUGUCCGCGUUCACGGGAUGCGGGAAGUCUUCGCCAUCCAUUGUAGCAAGUAUCAUGGCUCCACCAGAGAAUACCUUCUUAACUACAAAUGGCCCUUCGUAUGUGGGAGUCCAUUUGCCUCUGGGAUCACCUUGUGGUAGAAUGAUACGCUUUAUCACCAAGUCGCCAAUUUGAUACACCUGUCUCUUGACUUUUUUGUUAAAUGCCUGGGUCAUGCGCUUCUGAUAUAUCUGCCCAUGACAAACAGCCGCAAGUCUCUUUUCAUCAAUCAAAUUUAUCUGAUCGAGUCGAGUCUGAAUCCAUUCAUCUUCAUCUAAGCCCGCCUCUUUCAUGAUUCUUAGAGAGGGAAUCUGAACUUCCACUGGUAAAACGGCUUCCAUUCCGUAGACUAAAGAGAAAGGAGUUGCCCCUGUCGAAGUGCGUACUGAAGUGCGAUAACCAUGAAGAGCAAAUGGUAACAUCUCAUGCCAGUCUUUGUAUGUUACUGUCAUCUUUUGUAUAAUCUUCUUAAUAUUCUUAUUAGCAGCUUCUACGGCGCCAUUCAUCUUUGGCCGGUACGGAGAAGAGUUAUGGUGUUUUAUUUUGAACUGCGUGCAGAGUUCAGUAAUCAUCUUGUUGUUCAAAUUAGUACCAUUAUCAGUGAUAACUCUUUCAGGGAUGCCAUACCGACAAAUAAGACUAUUCUUGAUGAACCGUGCCACCACAUUCUUGGUGACAGAAGCAAAUGAGGCUGCCUCUACCCACUUUGUAAAGUAAUCAAUAGCAACAAGAAUGAAACGAUGUCCAUUAGAAGCAGUAGGUUUAAUCUCUCCAAUCAUAUCAAUGCCCCACAUUGCAAAGGGCCAAGGGGCUGUCAACACGUUCAAUGGAGCAGGAGGUACAUGUACUUUGUCCGCAUAGAUCUGGCACUUGUGACAAGUUCUGGAGUGAUGGUGGCAAUCAGCUUCCAUGGUAGACCAAUAAUACCCUGAUCUCAGAAUCUUCUUGGCCAUCGUAUGUCCACUAGAAUGAGUCCCAAAAAUACCGUCAUGCAUGUCUUCCAUAAUCUUUUCUGCUUCCUUUUUAUCCACACAGCGAAGCAAAGUCGAAUCAUGAUUACGUUUGUAUAAUACUCCAUUACUCAAAAAGAAUUUAGCGGAGAACUUCCUCAGAAAUUUUCUGUCAUUGAUGGAUGCCCCUUCAGGGUAUUCCUGAGUUUCUAAAUAUCUUUUUACUUCGUGGAACCAAGGUUUCUCUUCUACUUCAUCAGCAUUAAGUUCAUAACAAUAUGCUGGUUCAUCUAAUCGUUCAAUGGUGAUCAUGGGAGCUUCAUUGUCCCAUCUGACUCUGAACAUAGAUGACAUGGUAGCCAAUGCGUCUGCCAACUGAUUCUCUUCUCGUGGAAUAUGUUCGAAUGUAAUCUCUUCAAAGUAUGGGAUUAAUGUCAACACCCGCUCUCGAUAAGGGAUGAGAUUCGGAUGUUUAGUGUCCCAUUCUCCUUUGAUCUGACUGAUUACUAAGGCUGAGUCUCCGUACACACUCAAAAACUUGAUUCUCAGGUCUAUAGCAGCUCUGAGUCCCAAAAUACAUGCUUCAUACUCAGCCAUAUUGUUGGUACAAUCAAAACAUAGUCUAGCAGUGAAAGGCGUAUGGCAACCCUUGGGAGAAAUAAUUACAACACCAACACCAUUGCCCAAUGCAUUAGAAGAUCCAUCAAAAACCAUAGUCCAUCGGGAUCCCAGUUCGGGUCCUUCAUCCGGUCCAGGUUCUUCAUAAUCAGUAACAAGCAUGACAUCCUCAUCUGGGAACUCAAAAUUCAUAGAUUGGUAAUCAUCCACUGCUUGAUGAGCCAAAUGAUCAGCUAGCACGCUUCCUUUGAUUGCUUUCUGGGUAGUAUACUGGAUAUCAUACUCUGUUAAAAUCAUCUGCCAUCUUGCUAUUCUUCCGGAGAGAGCAGGUUUCUCAAAUAUAUAUUUGAUAGGAUCCAUCUUAGAAAUCAAUAAAGUGGUAUGAUUCAACAUAUACUGUCUUAGUCGGCGAGCAGCCCAGGCCAAAGCACAGCAAGUUUUCUCGAGCAGUGAGUAUCUUGUUUCACAGUCGGUAAACUUUUUGCUAAGGUAGUAUAUGGCAUGCUCUUUUCGACCAGACUCGUCAUGUUGCCCCAACACACACCCCAUUGAAUUUUCUAACACGGUCAAAUACAUGAUUAGAGGUCUUCCUUCAACUGGUGGCAUCAGAAUUGGAGGUUCUUGGAGAUACUUCUUGAUUUUGUCAAAAGCUUCUUGACAUUCGUCAUUCCAAAUCAUCUCUUGAUUUUUCCUCAGUAAUUUGAAGAUGGGUUUGCAGGUAGCAGUCAAAUGGGAGAUAAAUCGGGCAAUGUAAUUCAAACGUACCAAGAAACCUCUGACUUCUUUAUCUGUACGGGGAACUGGCAUUUCUUGAAUAGCUCUCACCUUAGUCGGGUCAACCUCAAUUCCUUUACUACUGACAAUAAAGCCCAAGAGCUUACCGGAUCUUACUCCAAAGGUGCAUUUGUUCGAGUUCAAUCUCAACUUGUAUUUCUUCAACCUCUCAAAUAGUUUGUAUAAAUGAUCAAGAUGUUCUUCUUCAGUAUGAGAUCUGGCUAUCAUGUCAUCCACAUAUACUUCUAUUUCAUGAUGGAUCAUGUCAUGGAACAAAACCACCAUAGCACGCUGGUAUGUCGCCCCUGCAUUCUUUAAACCGAAUGGCAUUACUUUGUAACAGAAAGUGCCCUAUUGCGUCACAAACGUAGUUUUCUCCAUGUCUUCAGGCGCCAUCUUGAUCUGGUUAUAACUCGAGAAUCCAUCCAUGAAGGAGAAUACCUUAUGUUGAGCGGUGUUAUCUACCAGAACAUCAAUGUGCGGAAGCGGAAAGUCAUCUUUGGGACUCGCUUUAUUCAAAUCUCUGUAAUCUACACACAUUUAUCAAUGUGCGGAAGCGGAAAGUCAUCUUUGGGACUCGCUUUAUUCAAAUCUCUGUAAUCUACACACAUUCGCACCUUACCAUCCUUCUUCGGCACCGGUACCACAUUAGCAACCCAUUGAGGAUAAGAAGUAACAGCUAGAAAACCGACAUUAAAUUGUUUCAUAACCUCGACUUUGAUUUUCUCGGACAUUUCAGGACGCAUGCGACGAACCUUUUGCUUAACAGGAUAACAAUCUUCCUUCAUCGGUAAACGAUGUACUACUAUAUCAGUAUCCAGUCCUGGCAUGUCUUCAUAAGACCAAGCAAAAAUCUCAAUAUAGUCCUGUAACAUCUGAAUCAAUCUUUCCUUGAUACUGUCUCCCAAGCCUGCUUCUAUUUUGACUUCUUUCUUGUCUACUUCAGUACCCAGAUUUACAAUUUCGAUUGAUUCCUCAUGCGGCUGUAUAGUCUUUUCUUCUUGCAGUACCAGUCUGGCAAGCUCUUCAGGUACUUCACAAUCUUCCUCACUUCCAUCCUCGGCUUGGUAGAUCGGAUUUUCAAAGUCAUAAUNNNNNNNNNNNNNNNNNNNNNNNNNNNNNNNNNNNNNNNNNNNNNNNNNNNNNNNNNNNNNNNNNNNNNNNNNNNNNNNNNNNNNNNNNNNNNNNNNNNNNNNNNNNNNNNNNNNNNNNNNNNNNNNNNNNNNNNNNNNNNNNNNNNNNNNNNNNNNNNNNNNNNNNNNNNNNNNNNNNNNNNNNNNNNNNNNNNNNNNNNNNNNNNNNNNNNNNNNNNNNNNNNNNNNNNNNNNNNNNNNNNNNNNNNNNNNNNNNNNNNNNNNNNNNNNNNNNNNNNNNNNNNNNNNNNNNNNNNNNNNNNNNNNNNNNNNNNNNNNNNNNNNNNNNNNNNNNNNNNNNNNNNNNNNNNNNNNNNNNNNNNNNNNNNNNNNNNNNNNNNNNNNNNNNNNNNNNNNNNNNNNNNNNNNNNNNNNNNNNNNNNNNNNNNNNNNNNNNNNNNNNNNNNNNNNNNNNNNNNNNNNNNNNNNNNNNNNNNNNNNNNNNNNNNNNNNNNNNNNNNNNNNNNNNNNNNNNNNNNNNNNNNNNNNNNNNNNNNNNNNNNNNNNNNNNNNNNNNNNNNNNNNNNNNNNNNNNNNNNNNNNNNNNNNNNNNNNNNNNNNNNNNNNNNNNNNNNNNNNNNNNNNNNNNNNNNNNNNNNNNNNNNNNNNNNNNNNNNNNNNNNNNNNNNNNNNNNNNNNNNNNNNNNNNNNNNNNNNNNNNNNNNNNNNNNNNNNNNNNNNNNNNNNNNNNNNNNNNNNNNNNNNNNNNNNNNNNNNNNNNNNNNNNNNNNNNNNNNNNNNNNNNNNNNNNNNNNNNNNNNNNNNNNNNNNNNNNNNNNNNNNNNNNNNNNNNNNNNNNNNNNNNNNNNNNNNNNNNNNNNNNNNNNNNNNNNNNNNNNNNNNNNNNNNNNNNNNNNNNNNNNNNNNNNNNNNNNNNNNNNNNNNNNNNNNNNNNNNNNNNNNNNNNNNNNNNNNNNNNNNNNNNNNNNNNNNNNNNNNNNNNNNNNNNNNNNNNNNNNNNNNNNNNNNNNNNNNNNNNNNNNNNNNNNNNNNNNNNNNNNNNNNNNNNNNNNNNNNNNNNNNNNNNNNNNNNNNNNNNNNNNNNNNNNNNNNNNNNNNNNNNNNNNNNNNNNNNNNNNNNNNNNNNNNNNNNNNNNNNNNNNNNNNNNNNNNNNNNNNNNNNNNNNNNNNNNNNNNNNNNNNNNNNNNNNNNNNNNNNNNNNNNNNNNNNNNNNNNNNNNNNNNNNNNNNNNNNNNNNNNNNNNNNNNNNNNNNNNNNNNNNNNNNNNNNNNNNNNNNNNNNNNNNNNNNNNNNNNNNNNNNNNNNNNNNNNNNNNNNNNNNNNNNNNNNNNNNNNNNNNNNNNNNNNNNNNNNNNNNNNNNNNNNNNNNNNNNNNNNNNNNNNNNNNNNNNNNNNNNNNNNNNNNNNNNNNNNNNNNNNNNNNNNNNNNNNNNNNNNNNNNNNNNNNNNNNNNNNNNNNNNNNNNNNNNNNNNNNNNNNNNNNNNNNNNNNNNNNNNNNNNNNNNNNNNNNNNNNNNNNNNNNNNNNNNNNNNNNNNNNNNNNNNNNNNNNNNNNNNNNNNNNNNNNNNNNNNNNNNNNNNNNNNNNNNNNNNNNNNNNNNNNNNNNNNNNNNNNNNNNNNNNNNNNNNNNNNNNNNNNNNNNNNNNNNNNNNNNNNNNNNNNNNNNNNNNNNNNNNNNNNNNNNNNNNNNNNNNNNNNNNNNNNNNNNNNNNNNNNNNNNNNNNNNNNNNNNNNNNNNNNNNNNNNNNNNNNNNNNNNNNNNNNNNNNNNNNNNNNNNNNNNNNNNNNNNNNNNNNNNNNNNNNNNNNNNNNNNNNNNNNNNNNNNNNNNNNNNNNNNNNNNNNNNNNNNNNNNNNNNNNNNNNNNNNNNNNNNNNNNNNNNNNNNNNNNNNNNNNNNNNNNNNNNNNNNNNNNNNNNNNNNNNNNNNNNNNNNNNNNNNNNNNNNNNNNNNNNNNNNNNNNNNNNNNNNNNNNNNNNNNNNNNNNNNNNNNNNNNNNNNNNNNNNNNNNNNNNNNNNNNNNNNNNNNNNNNNNNNNNNNNNNNNNNNNNNNNNNNNNNNNNNNNNNNNNNNNNNNNNNNNNNNNNNNNNNNNNNNNNNNNNNNNNNNNNNNNNNNNNNNNNNNNNACAACACUCUUCGUACCAUCGUAAGCACGCACCACAACAUCACUAGGUUUCAAUUCGAUGCUUUUACAGUCAAAUUUAUCGAGCACAGCUUUCGGUAGCACAUUCAAAGAAGAGCCGUUGUCGAUCAAUACAUGAGCCAAGGUGAUCCCCUUACACUCAAUGGAGAUAUGCAGAGCUUUAUUAUGAUUCUUUCCUGCUGGUGUCAGGUCAGCAUCGGAAAAGCCUAGGCCAUUGUCAACAACCAAGUUAGCAACAUAAUGUUCUAACUGAUCCACAGAUGUCUCUUGAGGUACAUGAGCGGUCUUCAAGAAUCUUAUCAACGCAUCGGCAUGAGAUUUAGAAGAUAACAACAAGGAUAACAUCGAAAUUUUAGACGGAGUAUGCCCCAACUGUUCUACCACAUCAAAAUCACUCUUACGGAUGAUUUUCAACAUUUCUUCCAUCUCCUGCUUGGAGACAUCUUCGGUAGUAACUUCGACUGGUGUCUUUGACUGAGAAGGAUUGAUUACUGGUUCCUUUCCUUGAGUUUCAGGGAUGGGAGGUGAGAUUUCUAGAGAGAAGAUCCUUCCACUUCGAGUAAUUUUACUAGUCCCAACAAUGUCAUUAGGAUUAGCAGAAUUAUCAACUUGCUUUACGCCAUGGACGUAAACAUCACCUCCAUAAUUCCACGGAAUGGCUUUGCUUGAGGAAUACGGUACUGGGCCAGGUGCAAUAAUAAUUAGGGGAGCUAUCUUGGGCUCAGUGGUAAUCUUCACAGGCACUCUAGUAGCGGUAAUCUUCACUGGAACUUUGGACCUAGCAAUCACAAAUAUUUCUUCAAUAGGGUUUUCCACCUUAGGUUAAUCUUCACUGGAACUUUGGACCUAGCAAUCACAAAUAUUUCUUCAAUAGGGUUUUCCACCUUAGGAAUCUUUUCAAAGAGAAUUGUAUGAUCGUCCAUCAGCCGUUGAAUACCAUUCCUCAAUUUCAGGCAAUCAUUGGGUCGGAGUAUACAGAGAUCGCAAUAUUCAGCACAACCUGGAAAUAAACCAGCUUGCAAUAAAUUCCUCUUGAUGAUCAGGAGGGGAGAUGCUAAGUCGGCCACAUUAGUAAUGUGAGAAUUAUCAUCCACAACAUUAACAGUCUUGUCAUGAUUAGGCAUAGGUGCAGUGAUGACAUUGGGAGUCUCCGGAGGAUCAAAUUCAAUUUCUCUAGCGUCGAUCAUAUCCUGAAUCUUAUUCUUCAACAACCAGCAAUCGUUUGUAUCAUGCCGGGGGCUAUCAGAGUGAUAUGCACACCUGGCAUUGGGAUUAUAACGAGGAGAAGUAGUGUUGAGAUUUGCAGGAGGGCCUCUGAGGGUAAUUAAAUUUGCCUUUAGCAUACCCUGCAGUGCUUGUGCUAAAGUCAUAUUGAUCUUGGUAAACUGCCUUCUUGGCCUGUCUUGUCUGUGCUGGAGGUUUUGAGAUGGCGGUGCUGCAAUCGUAACUGCUCCAAUGGUAUGGUCACGGUUUUUCUUGUUAUGGCCCCUUUCACCGUACACAGCAUUUGAUUCGCUCCUCCCCUGAUAGGGCUUUUUGGUGCUUGCAGAGGUAGCCGCCUGUAUCUUUCCACUUCGAAUGCCGCUUUCAACGCGUUCACCUGUCAAUAUAAGUUCAGUGAAACCCGAUGAAGAACUUCCCAGUAGAUGGCUGUAGAAUGGGCCAGUCAGUGUACCCAUGAACAUGUCCACUAAUUCUCGAUCAGUCAUAGGGGGUUUGACUCUGCCAGCCAAAUCUCUCCAUUUUUGAGCAUAUUCUUUGAAGCUUUCUUUAGAGCCCAUAGUCAUAUUCUGCAACUGUAGCCGAGUAGGCGCUAAUUCAGAAUUAUACUGGUAGUGCUUGUAGAAAGCUGUCGCUAAAUCAGUCCAGGUGCGGAUGUUAGAGCUCUCGAGCUGAUAAUACCACUCCAACUGUGUGCCAGACAGACUCUCUUGGAAGAAAUGGAUCCAUAGCUUCUUAUCAGUGGUAUACGGCUGAAUCUUUCUCACAUAAGCUCUCAGAUGCAUCUGAGGACAAGACGCACCAUCAUACUUAGUGAAAGCGGGGACCUUGAAUUUGCGGGGAAUGACCACAUCAGAGACCAGACCUAAGCUUUCGAAAUCCAGACCGGGCGCCUUCUGACCCUCCAUAGCUAGCAUGCGUUCUUCCAGCAACUUAUACUUAUCAUCUUUUGGAGAGUACUGUUCAUUUUCAUAAUCUUCAUCGUCAUCCUCAGGGUUGAAGGGAUCAGCAUUCUCAUCUUCUGAAUCUGUCUCUGUUUCCUCUUCUUGAUCCUUCGGAAUUCUGAUUUUGAUUCCCGCAGCCUGUCCUUUAAGCCUUCUUCCCGGGUUAAUGUAACUCACAGCUUUCUUGUCUUUCUUUUUCUCGAGCAAGAGAGCUUUCAGUUCCUCCUGCCCCCUGGAUAAGUUCAAGAUCAUCUCCUGGAGUUGAGCAUUCUGAGCAUGGAGAUCCUUGACAGUUUGUUCGAGGUCCAUUUUUCUGUUUGGAGGAAAACCGUGAGAACACUGAUCCCUUUAGAGUACCUGUUAUGCAAUGUUAUGUUAUGCUAUGCAAUGUAUGAAAUGUUUUCAAGGACUUUUGGAAUUUAACUUUGCGUAAACCACCAAAAAGGGGAACUUUUAUUAAUAAUUUCUUUAAUCAAUGUUCAUUACAAGAAAAAAUGAAAGCUCAAGUCUCCCAGGGACGGCUUCUUUUUGGGCGGAGAUAUGCAUUGAGUCUUCGUUCCUCAUUAAGCUGGCUGGUGAGCUCUAAUACUUUCUUCCUUUCUGCACCGAACUGAGUUUCAAAAGUAUCCCUUUCCUCUCUCAACUGGAUCCAGGAUCUCUUCAAUUCUUCAACAUUGGUAGGCAUAUCUGGAUAAGGAAUGAUCUGAGAAGUAUCUCCUUCAAUUCCUGGUUCAACAAUCAGCGGUCCGACUGCAAGAUAUGGCAUGGUAAGCUCACGAGCUCUGACGCGUACCCAUCUGAGAUAAGGUUCCAUAGGAAUAGAGUUUUUUUGUCUUAAGGUACUUCUUUUCACCAUGCCCCAAGCUCGUACAAAUCUUUGACGGAGACCUUGGGAAUCGUUGUCAUAGUCAAACACAGUGCCUUGGAUAAUUAUUUCAUGUGGACCAUCUCUUCGAGCACAACCGAAUUGACGUAGGGCUAAAGCAGGAUUAUAAGUAAUACCUCCCCUCAUCCCUAGGAGUGGUACGUUAGAGAAUUCUCCACAACGGUCAAUGAUGAUAACAUUUUCUUUGAGAUGAGGACACUAACGGAUGUCUGAAUGGGAAAGCGACAUUAUCCUGUGAGACCAUUUCAAAUUUUGCUCAUUCUUCAAUGAGGAAGGUGCGAAAUAAACCACCUAGAUAAUAAAGGUAUGCAGCACAUGAGAGUCCCUUGCCUUUUCACAGUACGGGUGUGAAGGGAAUGCAAAAUGUCUCCAAGCAAGGUAGGCACAUGAUUAUGAGUGAGAAAUAUCUUAAUAGCAUUCAUAUCUAUGAAUUGGUCUGGAUUAGGAAAUAACACCAAACCAUAGAUUAGUAAUGCUAGAAUAUCUUCGAAAGCAUGGACAUUCAUAAUUUUUAAGAAUUCUCGGGCCUUAUUUAUCAGAAAUUUGGCAAGUAGACCCUUAAUUCCACUUCUUGUUACCCAAUUGGUUUCAAUGUCGAACUUUGUCAUGUGUAAAGCUGCGGCAACUUCUUCAGACUUCAGAAUCUUUUCUAAACCACUGAAAUGUGUUUGAUCAAGGAUAGGUAUCCCAAGCAGCCUGGAAAAUUCUUCUAAUGUGGGUACCAACUGAUAAUCUGGGAAUGUGAAGCAAUGAUGUUUAGGAUCGAAGAACUGGAAUAGGACUCUCAUCAUAUCUCUCUUUUGAAACGGUAAGAACUUAAAUGAGGAGAGAACCAUGUUUCUUGAUAAACUGAGCCUGAUCGGGAAGUUCUGACACUAAAUCCUUGAGUUGAGGAGAGAUUGCUACAAAAUUGAUCCGGAUGGUCUUCCUGGGAGCCAUAGCCUUUCAAAACAGAGCAAAGUUAAAUCCCUAAGUCCUUGAAAUGGUUAGUACAAUGCCAUGAUGUUAUGAUGUUAAACAAAUAACAAGCACAAACAAGUCGCACAACAAUCAUUCCUAGGUUUUAAGGCUUGCAUGAGUUCCAUAGGUAAGUACCCUCCCCACUGAAGUUUGGUUGGUUUAACCUGUCCUAGAAUAGUAAUCGGGUUCUAGAAGGAUCUCAAAUCAUCGACCUUUCCUUAAGUCCACUUCAGUGCAACACCGAGCGGUUGACCAAAAUUUCCCUAAAGUCCAAUCUCAAAGAGUGUAGUAUCGAGUAUCAACCAACCCCAGUCGGAACCGAAGUCAGUUAUCUCACUACUUUCUAAUGGCUAGGAUGAGUCAAUUAGGUUUCUAAAGGUCUGGUUAAUGCUUUGAUGACACCACGCAGACGCCAAAUUUUUCCUCAAGUAAACAUGAGGAACAUCAGGACAUCUAAAGUGUCACAUUAACCGUAGCCAUCAUGUUUAAACCAUUUCCAGUAUACGCCGGAUAGUCGCGAUGAGCGUCUUGCUAUUACCUAAGGUACACUAGAUCCGGGUGUGACUUUUCACUCAAGCUCAUUAAAAUACCCAAGCAAUCCUUAACAGUAAAUCAACAAUUCGACUAAGCUGAUCUUUUUUAUUUUUCAUUUUUUAUUUUUUUUUAAUGGGCAACCUCUCUUUGUUAAGUUUAUGUCCCCAGCAGAGUCGGCCCAGUUCUGUCAUCGGUGAUAGCAUGACUUUCGGAGUGCUUUGCUUUGGAAUAAGCAAAUGUCGCGUGAUAGCAAGGUCGCCACGACUUUUCUUGAUCAAAGAAAGGUGGAAAAGAACAGGAAAGAACCUUGAUAUAGAUUUUCGGCGUUUGCGGGAGGCUAAUCAUUAUACAAAGGAAGUGUUAGCACCCUUAUAUCCAUGGUUACUCAUGGGCUUCUUAAUUGCUUGAUCACUAUGUUUUGCUUUGUUUGAAAGUGUUUGGAGCUGUUUGAGAAAAUGUUUUGAAAAGAGAGUUUACUUGUAAUGAUUCUCUGUACGAAUGUAUUACAAAGUAUUAGUAUCUCGUUUAAUUUUGAAGCUGUUGAAAGUAUACUUGGCAGUUCAUAGUAACGAAUGGAUAUACCAAGUGGUGAUUUUCUAGUAGAUGUUUUGCAAAAGUAUGAGGUGUGAAAAGUAUUUUAAGUUGUGAGUAAGCACUGGUAAGAGUCUAUUACCUACCAGGUUUUCAUGGCAUUCCUAUCCUCUAUGAGCGGUUAAGACUGUCCUUACUAUUGAGAAGAAGUAGUCGUUCCUUUGGAUGUAAAGGGAAAUCGUUAAGGGUCAUCUCGAAUUGGUCAUUGAGGCCAACGAUUUGUAAGAUAACCUUAGCAUUCGAAGGGACCGCAUCAUCAUUGAACGAAGGCUCAACGACGGGGCCAUCGAGGACAAUAAUCCGUAUAUCGAAGGCAUACAUUCGAGGGACGUAUGAUGUUAUCUGUUAUAGGGACGUUGAUGAUUUAAUCGAAGGUACUUUCUAAGGUGUAUCCCCGCAGUUCGCGGUACAAUGACCGUAAUACGCUACAGGUAUACCGUAACGGCAACAAGGAGGCCAAACACAUGCAUUCAAAGGCAACCAUUCUGUAAUCAUGUUAGAUAAUUAGAAUAGAUCGUCCGAAGAGGUAUCCCACAAUAAAAGCUUGAAUAGCACCUAGCAGGCUACCUUCUUCGGGGAUAUGUGGAACCCUACCAAAAGUCAACAAACGGGUUUAGAAUACAAAACGCGGUGCAAUUGAGAGUUGCACCAAACAAAGAAUUCACGAGCAGUAGCUAGGAAUGUCAGGCCAAUAAUACACCGCGUUAUAAGAAAACAUGUCAAGAUAAGCACAUACGAAAGAACAAAAUCAGCGCGGACUGUCCUGUUCGGCUUACUGCCUCGGCCUAGCGAAGGCCUUGGCGAACACUUCGGCUACGUGUGUUCGCUGCGAGCCGCACGGGGGUGCGUAGCGGCAACGGCUGCGGCGGUUUGAGUUUGAUAAACAGCGUUAUCCGAUUCGAACUCCGAACCCUGUAUGGCAUUCCAUUACAGAAAUUUCCACGGCUCUAAACACUUUCGAGGUAUUCAUGCCAUACUUAAAACCCACAUGCAACAAUCUAGACUACAUACUCAAAAUUCUAAUAUAAGUGGUGCUCAUGUUAUUUAGAGAUUACAAUUGGCAAAUUGUAAAACGGUAGUGUAUUGCCGGCUCAAAACUGUUUGCGACUUGACAUCGUGCACCAGUCCGAACCUUGGCCAGAUCACUCUUUAGGGCUUUAUACGGAUCGAGUGGGCGGAGUAACCUUUGUGCAGGUGAGUUUCCUUCAGGGUUUCCUUUAGGGUUGCUCUGAAUUCUUUUGGUUAGCCUCCAGGGUUUGCUCUCUGUGCGUGUUUGUGUUUCUCCUUUUCUCCUCUGUUUUUUCGUCCUCCCCCUUUUCUGAAUGAGGUCUUGGUAUUUAUAAUAGUUUUUGUGACCUGAUGGGCUCAGAAUGAAGCCCAAAAUUUCUGGUAUUCGCAAGCUUCGCUAGACGAGUGGUGCAGCGAAGAGUUCGCUAGGCGAAGGAUUUGCUCGCCUAGCGAGCAUGCCAGUUUGAGUCAUUUUCUGGAUUUGGCCACCUGGGAGCUGGGUCUUUGUUCCUUUAAGAUCAAUGUCUUGAACAAUGAGUUGGAGUGCCUUGAAGAAUGUCUUGAAAGAUUAACGGGCAAAUUUUGGGGUAUGACAGGGAGCAUUGAAUAUUGUGAGACUUUUUUUUCUAGAGCAACACCUUUGUGAGAGACACACCGCAUAUUCACCAAAAACCUUAAAGUGAUAGGUGAGUGAGCUCUCUGACUUAUAAAUGCUCAAGUCUCCACAUUACCAACCAAUGUGGGACUAUUAUCCAUACUACUCACACUUGAUUCAUUCUCAACAAUAACACUACCUCACAUAUUAUAAAAAACUCUAAAAUUUAUUCUUAGCAAUGCCAACCAAUGUUCAAUUAUUGAGCAUAAUUGUAAUGUAACUAGAAUCAUACAUAUGGAUGUGUCUUACAAUUGUACAACCUACCAUUUUAACAUGUUUAUAUUUUAAUCACUCCUACACAUAUAUAUUGAUUAUAAUGAAUUUCACAAGCCCUGCCUUCGUAACCAAUAAAUAUCAAUUAUAAUGAAUUUUAAGAUGUGUCUGUUAUAGAUUGCUUGACAUAUAACCAUUUCAACUUCCAAUAAUUAACCAUUUUCCAUACUAAAAUAAUCAAGUGAAAAUGAUAAUCAUUUUCUCCCACUUUUUGUUUACUUUUAUUGAAAAUGUUAUUCGAUAUGAUACAAUUAUUAUGAAUUAAGUAUAACAAUAAAUAAGAUAUAACAAUACAUCACACAAAAACACAAGAAUAAACCAAUAAUGCCAUUUGACAUUGAUGGUGAUUCAAUACAUUAAACUCUUUCCAAAUAAUAUCAUAUACUAAACAAUUUAAAAUAAAAUUUCACCAAUUGGACCACCUCGUUUAAGUCUCACAACUGUAGCCCCAAUUACAAUAAAACUAAAAAAAAGCUCAUGUAUAUCCUCUUGCUACAGAUACACUAAAUCAUACCAAAAAAAAAAAAUAAUUUCAUUUUAUGAAAAUAACUCAAUCCUAACAAAAUAAAAAUCACAUCCAAAUGCUAAUACAAAAGAGAGAAAAAAAAGUAAAGACUAAUAAUAAAAGACUUAGAUUUGUUAUGGCAAUAUAUGCAACCGAAAAACGAACUUAUGUAAAAUUAAGGUUUGAAUGGGAAAAUGGAGAGUUCAAAGGAACUUAGGAUUUUGGGAGAUUAAUCUUAAAAAAAAAAGCUAAAGUAAUUUCAAACAAAUAAUAUUGAAUUGUAGGUUUCGAAUGGAAAUAUUUUAUGGAUAAUUUUAGACCUGGUGCAAAUCUAAAAUUAUCGACUCUUUCUUACUAGAAUUUAGGCUCGAUGGGUUGGAAGUCAUAUUCAUAUGAGAAUGAUGUUAUAAAUUACAAUGAAAUAUUGUAUAUAUUAUAUAUGUUCGACUUUUAAACCAUAAUGAACGACGAGGUUAAAUCCGAGGUCUUAAGUUUGAGCAUGGUAAAAAUCUAAAAAUAAUAUUUUUAUUGUUUAUUUAAUAAAAUAACCAGAAUCAGAAUCAAACUUGUGUGUAGAGCUUAAAAAUGAGGUUGGAUAAGUUGUAACAAAAUAAGUUUCAUUGCUCGCACGGUUCAAAAUGGGGUGACGAUUUUUAUAACCUUUGCAAAUAAGGUUUUUGGGUUGUUGGUAAGCAAACCAUCAUAAAUUAUUUUUAUUUAUUAUUAUUUUUCUAAAUCAAGAGGUGGUUGGAUAAAACCAUUGCUUGCAAAGCACACAAUACAUAACAAAUACAAUUUUAUUAGAAUCGUUGCAACUUAUGUCUCGCAAAAUAUUAGGUUUUAUAUAUAUAUAUAUAUAUAUAUAUAUAUAUAUACUAUAUAUAUAUAUAAUAAUAUAUUAUAUAUAUAUAUAUAUAUAUAUUAUAUAUUAUAUAUAUAUAUUAUAUAUAGAUAUAUAUAUACUAUAGUAUAUUAUAUAUAUAUAUAUAUGAUUGACUCCACUUUGAGUUAACUCUAAAAUUCACUCUAAAAUUCAAAAUGUCUCUUACAAAAAUAUAUCUAAACACAUGCAUUAAUAUUAAUUUUUGCUCAAUUUUUAUUUAAUUUUUUUAAACAAUAUACAAUUUACAAUUUACAAUUUUAAAAUAGAUAGAUAUAAAUUUGAACACAAUUAUGCCACACUAGUUCCAUUUACUAUCAUUUAACAUCUAUUUAACUAAUAAAAAUAUAAGAAGAUUUGACUAACAAAUAAUCUAAAAACAUUAUUUAAAGAUUCAUUAAAAUAUUUAUACAAAUUAGACAAUUGAGAGAAAAAUAAAUGAGAAAAUAAGAGAUUUUCAUUAUGAGUGUAAAAUAAUUUUAUAUUAUCAAUCAAUAAUCAUCAUAUAUUUUUGUCAAAUUACAAGUUAUCUUAUAAUAAAUAUAUAAAAACUACUCAAUUUCUUAAACAAUUAAUAAGAAUAUAUUUUUUUAGCAUUUUUCAUAUAUAAAUAUAACAUUCCUUUGACAAAAAUCUACUUAAAAAAUAAGACUAAAGAUAGGAAAAAAAACAAAGAUGAAGCAGUAGUUUAGCUGUAGACUCGUGGACCUAUUACAACUAGUAGUAAAUGAGUUGGAAACUCAUCGGUUCUCAGACAGUUAGGCCCACUACAGGCCCAAGAUCCGGGAAAUUAGAUCUACAAGCGCGUAAAUUGUGCCCAAUCAAAUCCAAGGACUCCCAUAAUAUAAACUAAAAGAAUAUUCUAGAAGAAAUUUGAAACCCUAACUAUAUAAGCUAACUCCCACUACUAAGUACUUCCUUUCAUUUCUAAUCACAGUUUCAGGCUGUGAUUUCCACCCUCUUCCUCUCAGAUCCCUCUCUUUUGCGUAACGAACCAAAAGAGUGAAAUCCAAUGGCCGGAAAGGGAGAGGGACCGGCUAUCGGAAUCGAUCUCGGAACUACAUACUCCUGCGUCGGUGUGUGGCAACAUGACAGAGUUGAAAUCAUCGCCAAUGACCAAGGAAACAGAACCACGCCGUCGUACGUCGCUUUCACCGACUCCGAACGUCUCAUCGGUGAUGCCGCUAAGAAUCAAGUCGCCAUGAACCCUAUCAACACCGUUUUUGGUUAGUUAUUCUACGUCUUACUUUUUUUGCUCAAUUAACUCUUCUAUUUGCUAGAUCUAUCCGUUAUUUUUUGAAUAUUUACUUGUUUAUUGUUUUUUUAUUACUAAUUUGUUAAUUAGUUACUUUUUAGUUAAAUCCUAAUUUAGAAUUUGUUAAAUGUAUUUAUUGCUAAACUUGUACAUACCUAUAAAUCAUAAUUUUACCGUUCAUGAUGCCUUCUUUUGACUUGCUACGAUUAAUUAGUACUAUUGUGUAGUAUCAUGAAUCAUGAUGAUUCAUCACUAAAAAUGUGUUGUGAGGUACUAAGAUGUACAUGAUGUGUCUUUCGAGUUGGUAGGUUUCAAUUUAAUUGAUGUAUGGAUUUUUAAAUUCAAUGAAGUUGAAAUGUUUUUUGGGUUGCUAUGAUUCAAUCAAGUUUUCUCUAGUCUUAGUGAUAUAUUUGGAUGUAACUUUUAUGCUGUAUGAUAAGCCAGAUUUAUUUGAAAAUAGACUAGCAGUGUGAAAACUAUAGUAAUGAAACAUGAUUUUUUUUUAAAUUUUUGUUUACCUCUUUGAUCUAUGUUGCAAUUACUUUAUUAUAAUGUGUAUUGUGUGUAGUAUUUUUUUGGAUGUAUGUUUGAUAGGCUGCAUGCUGUGCUUGGUUCAUCUCAUAGUAGAUGAGAUGUUGAAUUUGUGAUACUAAGAUGGUUUUCACUUUUACAGAUGCCAAGAGGUUGAUUGGUCGUAGAGUCUCUGAUGCAUCUGUUCAGAGUGACAUGAAGUUGUGGCCUUUUAAGAUUAUUGCUGGUCCAGCUGAAAAGCCAAUGAUUGUUGUUAACUACAAGGGUGAAGAUAAGCAAUUUGCAGCUGAAGAGAUCUCUUCAAUGGUUCUGAUGAAGAUGCGUGAGAUUGCUGAAGCUUACCUUGGCUCUGCAAUUAAGAAUGCUGUUGUUACUGUCCCUGCUUACUUUAAUGAUUCCCAGCGUCAAGCUACUAAGGAUGCUGGCGUGAUUGCUGGUCUUAAUGUCAUGCGAAUCAUCAAUGAGCCCACUGCUGCUGCCAUUGCAUAUGGGUUAGACAAGAAAGCAACAAGUGUUGGUGAAAAGAAUGUCUUGAUUUUUGACCUUGGUGGUGGUACUUUUGAUGUCUCUUUGCUUACUAUUGAAGAGGGUAUCUUUGAGGUGAAAGCCACAGCUGGAGACACCCCAGGUCUUGAGUGAGGAUUUUGAAUAACACAAUGGUGAACACUUUGUUCAGAGUUCAGAAGACAAAGAACAAGAAGGACAUAGUGGCCAACCUAGGGCAACUCAGGCGAUUGAGGAAUGCAUGUGAGAGGGCGAGAGAACUCUUUUCAUCUACUGCCCAGACUACUCAUUGAAUUGGGACUCUCCUAUUUGGAGGAAAUGAUUUUCUACUCCCAUUACGCGUGCCAGAUUUGGGAGCUCAACAUGGAUCUCUUAGGAAAUGGUAUGGAACCAGUUUGAGAAAUGUUUGAGAGAUCCAAAUGGACAAAAAAAAGCAUCCAUGAUGUUGUUCUUGUUGGUGGUUCUACUAGAAUUCCAAAGGUUCAACAACUUUUGCAGGAUUUCUUUAAUGGAAAGGAGCUAUGCAAAAGCAUUAAUCCCGAUGAGGCUGUUGCGUAUGGAGCUGCUGUCCAGGCUGCAAUUUUGAGUGGUGAGGGGAAUGAGAAGGUGCAGGAUCUUCUCCUUCUUGAUGUUACCCCUCUCUCUCUUGGUUUGGAGACUGCUGGGGGUGUGAUGACUGUUCUGAUCCAAAGGAAUACCACCAUUCCAACAAAGAAAGAACAGGUUUUCUCAACCUAUUCUGACAACCAGCCUGGUGUGUUGAUCCAAGUCUUUGAAGGAGAGAGAACAAGGACUAGGGAUAACAAUUUGUUGGGCAAGUUUGAACUUUCUGGUAUUCCUCCUGCUCCCAGAGGUGUUCCCCAAAUUACUGUGUGCUUUGACAUUGAUGCCAACGGUAUAUUGAAUGUCUCUGCUGAAGACAAGACUACCGGGCAGAAGAACAAGAUCACCAUCACAAAUGACAAGGGUAGGCUUUCAAAGGAUGAUAUUGAGAAGAUGGUUCAUUUGACAUUGAUGCCAACGGUAUAUUGAAUGUCUCUGCUGAAGACAAGACUACCGGGCAGAAGAACAAGAUCACCAUCACAAAUGACAAGGGUAGGCUUUCAAAGGAUGAUAUUGAGAAGAUGGUUCAAGAGGCUGAGAAGUACAAGUCUGAGGAUGAAGAGCAUAAGAAGAAGGUUGAAGCCAAGAAUGCAUUGGAAAACUAUGCAUACAACAUGAGGAACACCAUCAAGGAUGACAAGAUUGCAGGCAAACUUGAUUCUGAAGACAAGAA